Molecule: non-coding RNA, 53520 nt
Organism: Cinara cedri
Lineage: Eukaryota; Metazoa; Arthropoda; Insecta; Hemiptera; Aphididae
Source: the annotation of a GenBank genome assembly
GAACUAAAAGACCAAAUUAAUAAUGUAUAAAAACGUAUAUUUUAUCAGAAAAUAUACGUUAUCGUUUAAGCCUAACGUCUACACAAACAAAAAAAUAAUAUGAGUUCCGAUUAUAUUAUAAUAUUUUAUAUGUCUUGCGUUAAAUUUCAAGGGCAAACGAGAUAACGCGGGGUUGGUGAUACGCGCUCAAAUACAAUUACGAUACGCGCCUUAUUAAAUUUACAAAACACGUUUUUUGGACGACGACCGUUCAGGGCAAACAAACCGUAACCACCGAAAUACUUAUCAGGUAUAUUUUAAUUAAAAAUAAACAAAGGAUGGAUUUUCGAUUAAAGCUUAAUAACAAUAUUCGUAAGAUUAUAACUAUUAUUGUUAUUUUUCAUUUUUUUUUUUUAUGCUUUAAUCCCUUUUGUAAUCCAAGACCGAGCACGAAAUGCUUAUAUAGCAGAUAGGUAGGUAUAUAUAUAUAAACACGGAAAUUGAUAAUCGGAAAAAUAAAUUAAUCCUAUUUGGAUCCGAAAGAAAUGCCUCAGAAAAUGUUUUAUCGCCGUCACAGGAAUUAAACAAACACAAUUUAAUUUAUAAUAUUAUUAACAUUAUUCGUUUUAAACGUUUUCAUUUUGCAUUAUUACAUUAUAAUGUUGUCUAGUGUAAUAUAAUUUAAUACCUACGUAAUAUAUUCGAACAAACAAUAUUAUUAUAAUACUUUAGAUAGGAAUUUAAAUUCGUUUACGAUCUAAAAUCAUUUGUCCAUAAUGACCGCCUACGAUUUGUUCGAAUAUUUGUUAGUUUAACCUUACCGGCGGCCGGUACUUGUAAAUUCUCCUCGUAUGUUUUUUUUUUUAUUAAAAUCUAAUCGAGCAACGUAUAAAAUUACCAAAUAAUUAUAUUAUUUUACAUUUUAUUAUAAUCGCCCAUAAUAAUAUUUGACUGCCUGCGUGUUACACAUAAUAUUAUCAUACACACUGUGACGGUUAUAUUUUAUUAAUAAUAAUAUGUACAUAUCAUAAAAUUAUUAAUUUAAGGUAUAAUGAAAUAAUUAAGGUAGCUACUAGUUUCGGUCUAAGCCAAUUUCAUGUUACAUAAAUAUAGAAUAAAAAACUUUCUAAAUAAAAAAUGCCAAAAAAAAAAAGGUAGAAGUUACCUGAAUGGUUUUAUUAUUUAUUUUUUGGCUUUGAAUUAAUAAUAAUUCCAUACUAUAAUUAUCAAAUGGAUAUACAACGUACUAUUAUUACACAUAUAGUAUAGCCCACCCAGGUAUGUGUUGCCUGUAUUACUGUACCUGUAUUAUGUUACUCGCGAAUAUUUCAAUUUUCCACAGGAAUAUCGAAAAAAAAAAAAACGACUAUAAACGAAAGUACAAUUAUUUGAAUGAUACAUACCUGUAUUAUUGCCUUCAACGAUACGAGCGCCUAUUGCCUUUUGGCAAACGUAAUUUCGAAAAGAAAAAAUACCAUUCCUAUACUGGCCGGUUACAAAAUGAAAAAAAAAAAAUGUUUUGGAAAUUCGGAAACUUAAUAAAGCGCACUGUGAAACGGCCGUUCGUAAAGGUUAGGUUAACUACGGCUUGUAACUGAGAAUAAUCAAUUUACAAACCGAGUAUAUUAUAGUGAGUAAAUUAUGUUCAAUUAUUAAGUCUCGUAGGUCAAUCCGAUAACAUUUUACACUACAAUAAACACAUGUUUCGAUAUUUACUUUUUAUGGUAUAUCCCAUUAAAUUCAUUAUUGAUGAUUACAGUAGAUAAUAAUGUAUAAAUAAGAACGUAUAACAAUGUGUUUGUAUAUACCUAUUACCUAUACAUAAUGUAAACAAUGAAUCGAUAAAUUUUAGUUUUAUACAUAUACAUAUUUUGAUAAUACCGAUUGGUAUAAUUCCAAAGAUUUCUAAUUUACUACGAUUUGAUUAUAACAUAACUGUAGAGAAACUUUUAAAAAUAAUAACAUGUAAUCGCAAUAAGAUAAGUAAUAGCUAUUAUAUUAUAUAAAUUUUAUACUCAAUAUUAGUAUAGUUGUGUAUUUAAAAAAAUAGUAAAAUUAAAAUAAAAACGUCACGGGUAGUAUAGUUCGAUAAAUGGGUAGUGUUGCCAUGUAGCAGUGGCGGGGAAAAUCGGGAAGAUAUAAUAUCUCCCUUUGAUCGUUAUUUAUUAUGUAUUAUUUAUAUGACUAUCCAAUUUUUUUUUUAAAUUUAAAUAUGUUUACUUUUUGAUGAGAAAAAUCAAAAAUCUAUUGUACAAUCUAUAGUGAAUACAUCAUAAAGACAUCGACGUACCUAUGUACUUUUUGUUUAAAACGCAACCUAUCCAAUACACUAAAUAAACUAAUAAUAAUAUUUCUAAUACCAGUAAUACCUGUAUAGUCAAAUUAUUUUAUUUCUAUAACAAUUUAAGGCUAGGUUGUGUAAUAAAUUUGACACUCACAAAAGUAUAUAAAUUAAAAAUUUACAUUUUCUUCGACCUAUAGUACGUACAAAUUGUACAAUAUGACACGAUUUCCAGAUUCUCCCUCCUUGGCAAAAUCCUAAUUACGCCACUGUAGGUAGAUUUCAUAAAGUUAGCAAUAAAAUUAUCGAAACUAUAGUGAUUAACUAAAAUUUAAAAAUGGAAUUUCAUUUUGACUGAUUACAAAAACGAUUUUCAAUACCUAGACGACCAUAAUAUUAUGGUCUCCCUUUAAUCAUCGUUGGGUUUAAUGAAUGAAUUAAAAAAGCAUGUAUAAGUAAUGCAAUACAGGUUUAUCACUCCUGUCGUACAUAAAAAUAUAUUUAUAUAUUGUUUUUAGCUGAGAAUGUGACGCGAUAGAAGCAGUUGUAAUUGUAUAUUAUAUCCCAACAAAAACCCUCCGUCAACUACGCGUAAAAACCUCGCUCAGAAAAAAAAAAACGCUGUUAAAAAAGUUGUGAUAUCAAAAAAAGGCCAAGUAAAAAUGUCUUAAAUUCAUUAUAGAUUCAGUAUAGAAAUUGUUUAUAAUUGUAUUUGCAUUUGACGAAGCGCGAUGAUAUAAUACAAAUAAUUUAACUUAGCUUGGCGGCUACAUAUAUUUAAGAGCACAAAUACACAAUGCCGACGUGAAUAUUAACAUCACCAUUUUAUAAUUUAUUAAUGUAUUAAUAUUAAUUAUAUAAUAAUAGUACUAUUAUUACUAAUAAUACUAUAUAAUAAUAAAUUUCGAUAAAAUAAAUAAACAAAAUUGUUUUUUAUUCGCCGUAAACGGCUACAGUCGUAAACAAGUAUAACAACGCGUAAAGCAUAUACAUUUUUAAAUUGUUGAAAAAAAAUAGCGUUUUGAGUAAAAACUAUGCUAAUACUUUUGCAUAUUACUCAGGCUGUAAUCAUCCGAUCAACUUGAAAUUUACAACAGUACCAUCUGCUUAAUAUACUGAUCAACGCGUGUAAAUUUCAAAACAAUCAGCUCAUUGGUUUAGGCUACAGAGAGGUCGGACUAUUUGUCGUAAAAUUACGCCGGUUAAAUAGGAGUUGAUCGUCUUGUCUAAUAUACCGUGGUCGACGCACGAGCUCUUUAUUUUUCACUUAGCUCUACGCCGCGAUUGCGACCGCAGCGCUGGAUUAAAGAUUCUUAUCGAGAAGAAAAAAAAUUAAUUUGAAAUUUAAGAGUACCUACCCAUAGGCCGUUUCACGUGCUACUAAGCAAAAAAAUAAAAAAUAAAAAUCACCUUAUGUGACAGGAAAUUACACCACUACAAAAAAAUUGAAAACCAUUAAUUCGUAUUGCAGCUAGUAUAGAAAUGAAAAAGCUUAUUUUUUUUUUUUUAUUUAUAGACAUCAUGAAGACUUUACGGCAACGGCGUGGUACUUUCCGCACGAAACCGACCCCGACUUGCCGACUAUACAUAUACACAGUAAGUAUACACGUCUUAUACUUUUCGAUAUUUUUAUUGCCCCCCAAAUGCCUUAAAUUUUUUUUUCACUCGGCCGACUUCUCUUGUCUAUUACUAUAUAUAUAUAUGUGUGUGUGUGUACGGGAGCUAUAAAAUUGUUUGUAAAUAAUAUAUAAGCCGGGGAGCUGUGAAUAUUUAAUGAGCAGGUGCAUCACGAUAAAAACUCGGGGCGAAAAAACGAUUUCGUGUUCGACGAAAAAAAAGUCAGUAGGUAUCACCCCGCGUCUCCAAAAAUAGGAGUGUGCAUCCACGUAAACGCGUUUGGUGUGAGGCUUAUCUUGUUGUGUCCUACAUAAAGAUAAAUGUUAAAAUAUCUAGAUAAAGAUAAAAAAAAAAAUAACAUUACUCGAAUAACAGGUCUAAACAAAUAUAGAAAAUGCAUGGAAAAAAAUGUAAUUUUCUAGAUUACGAAAAACAACCAGAUAUACGCGUUUCUGGAUUAGAAAUAGAAAAAAAGAAUAUUUCAAUAUAAUUUUUCAUCGUAAAACAAAGAGCGUAAAGUUCCCUAGUAAAACGUGUACCAGAUUUUGCACGGGUCCGGAUUUCGCAUGGAAAACAACGGCGUGUGAUUGACGCGACUCAAUAAUUUAUUUACGAAACCGCGAGUGAAAUGUUUCACCUGUUAUUUCUAAUAAACGUAUAAAUUACGAUUUCAUGCGUCGUGCAUAAAGGUUCGGCCAUCUUAUUUUUCGUGUUUGUCUAGAUAAGAUAACCAUAGAUAAGAUAAAUAUACCUAUCCAGAUAAUGAAACAUAAUACACACACACGCACACACACACACACGUGCCUGCUAUACGAGAUAAAAAAUAUCAUGUUUUUUAUGAUAAUAUAUAGCGGUACGAUAAUAAUAAUAAUAAUAAUAAUAAUAAUAAUAACAAUAAUAAUAAUACAUAAGACGUCCUCUGGGGAAUAAGAUACGCGAACACCACUAACAAUAAUUUCGGUCGCGUUAAUUACGUUUAUUAUAACGAACAGAAUAUUAUUGCUGUUUGGCAUGUGACGAUUUCAAUAUUGUCCAUCGCCCUCCCCUCACUCUAAUGUAAUAUUGUAUACGACGACCGAUCCCACGUACAUAUUAUUAUACAUUUGUAGAAUAGACACGCGAAACGACCCUCUAUCGGUACACAAACAAAACGAGAAUAAUAAAAAUAAUAAUUGUUACAUUACAAUAACACCGUCGCGACCCUUUUUUAUUUUAUUUUUUUUUUUUUUGGCAUUCAAUACUAAUAUCGCUAAUGGUUUUUUUUUUUUCUGUUUUGGGUCGCGCGCGUUUAGGGUUUGACAAACUUACGCGUAGAAUCAUAUCGUAUUAAAACGCGCGCGAACUCUAUAUCUUGUCCCGAUAAAAUAUAUACGCGACAACAAUAACAAUAUAACGAUACGCAAAGUAGGAGGGGAAUAAAUUAUUUUUACGAGAGACGAUAAUUGAUUUUAGUCGAUGUCGCUUAUAAGCUGCAGGGCUCGGAAGUAUUAGCGCGUUCUCAUAUUAUUUUGGUUUUUCUUUAGGGUGACGACUUAUAAAACUACGGUUCCGUGAGUUGUUGGUUUGUACUUCACUGCGUUGUCAUAGGUAACACACAACGGAGUUUGUUGUCACUAUUUCUCGCAUUUUUGAGACUUGUUGAGCUGUUUCGUUAAUUCGGGCGUUUUAAGUGCUAUUUACAGGAUAGAAAUAUAGGGUUUACAUAUUUGUUCCAUAUUUAGGAGAUAUAGGAGCUAUUUUACUGGUUUAGCUAUUUUACAUUAAUAGUAAACGACUAAACGGAUUCGAAAAAGAUGACCGUAUCCGGUUAGUCGAUCUUAUCAGACAGUUUCGUUUGUUUCCGACAGUUUGAUUAUUUUUAAAAUCGCUUUAAUCCCAUAUUAAUACAUUGUUUUUAAAUUUAACAUAGGGAAUUUUAUUUUACAUAUUUUUCGAUUUUAUGAUGCAUAUAUAUUAAAGCGCUAAAAAUGGACUUUUUUAAGGACUUUUUCAGAAAAGAUCCUAUACUUGAUAAUCGGAGUAUGUUUUCUGGUAGAAAAAGUGUUCACAUAAAAAAAAUUCAAAAAAAUUAAAUAAUAAAUAUUAUUGUAAACCAAUACAUUCAUCGUUUCACUCAGAAUCUAAUAAAUAGGUAUGAUUAUAAUGUAUAUAUAUAUUACAAUUUUAAUUUGUACAUAACAAUCUACUCCUAAAAUAUCAAUGCAUAUAAGUUCCUUUUUGUAAAUUUGUGUGCAUGACUAUCGACAAAGCGACAUACAGUUCGUUCCCUCCUCCCAAAGGAGAAAGCUGAGCACGCCAUUGCAAAGUUGUACUAGGUGAAUGCGAAUUUGCUAUGUAAUACAUUUGAAAACAAAGACAGCAUAGAUGAGUAUUAUAUCCACAUAAUUGAAUCAUACCUAGAUACUAAACUACUACCUACUACUAUCCUGGCUAAUUGCAAAAGUCAAAUUUACCGUCAAACAUUAAUUUAUGAGAAAAUAUAUUGCACGUUCAUACAUAGGUUCCUAAUAUAUUAUUUCGAGCGAUUCGUAUUUUUGGUAAUAUUAUCAUAUUACGAGACGAGUGAAAAAUUGUUUAAUUAAAAUUCGUAUCUCGAAACGAAUAAUGUCCAUUUCUUGUUAUAGAGUGGCGUAUUUGACAUUUUAUCUAGAGUGCAGCUGAUAAAAAAAAUCGCAUUCACAAACCCGUGUCACCCCUCCCUCGGGUGUAUAUAUUAUAAUUGUAUACACUCAUCUCACUUUUGAUGAAAUAAUUUUGUUUUUAAAUUAACAAAAUGGCUGAUAAUAUUAUAAUUAUAAAAUAAUGCUUGAAUAUUAUAUCACGAUGAUCACGCAUUUUACACUAUUUUCAUAAUUAUAGAAUUACGGAUAUUUUAUUAAAUUGAAAACUAUUAAUUAACACGCCGAUCCAUUAGUGUGUUAUAAUUUAAUAGUGACAAUAUAAACAAGCCACGGAGUGAAUCUAUUCACAGUUCCGAUCUCGUGAAUAAGUCAUCGAAAGUUCACUUUAUAGGAAAAAAAAAGCGGAAAAACUCGACAACACGAUGGUGAACACAUUCAAACAUUUCAAACUAUAACAACCGAAAUUAUACGCGGAAACGCACUCAAAAUAUCCGGAAAACGCAUUCCGGCGCUGUGUGAAAACAUACUACCGAACUGUACGAGGUAUUCCACGAAGAUACUAUAAUGGAAAGUAAUAACUUUUUUUCGGAAUCUUUUGUUUUUUAGCAAUUUAAAAAAUAAGUGGUUCUAAAAUGUUACUUUACCAUUGUUUAUUGUAACUUGUAGCCCUUAUUUUUGGGGGUGAACUAACUAUGCCUACUUUUGAUUUUUAAAUGACUACUUGUAUAAUUAAUAAAUAUACAUGUUGGCAUUGACAUUUUUGAUUUCCGUCAACCCGUUAACGAAAUAUCCACUUUUAAGGUCGCGUAGUGGGAGAAUAGGGAAACGAUAUUAAAACGCCGUUACUUGUUUUUUAAAUUGUAAAAAUAAAAAUGAAUUACAAAAAAAAAAAUCAAUACUUUCCGAGAUAUCGCAGCGGUCAUAGCUUCGCGGGAUACCCUGUCUAUAAGUAAGUACGUGGAAACGACACCCAAAAACACGAUUAUCGAUAGUAUAAUAAUCUAUAACAACGGAUCGGUGCGGGAUUCAAAUAACAAUUUUUUACUGCGUUGCACGUUUAAGGUUAUUCAAAUUCUCUAUGAAAAAAAAAACAAAACAAAACACAACAAGGGAUAUCAUAUUUUUUACGCAUGGAUGUAUCUAUAUGGUCUUGUUAGUCGAAUUGUUUGCAUGUAAACAUUCGGGGCCAUCGGAGUAUAAUAGCGACCGCAAUACCGAAAUGCACGCGUGUCAACGUGACUACAAUGAUAUUAUACGAACACGUUCGGUUAAAUUAAUCUAUUUACAUGAUCGGUAUCGAUAUUAUCUCGUUUUUCAUAGAUCUAUUGUACUGUAAAAAUGGCGUACGUGUACUGCAUUAAAAUACAUUUUAUUUCAACAUUGAUUUUUUUUUUUUGUUUUUUUUGUCGUUAAAACAAUAAAAUUGUUGUAUACGAGUAUGACAGUGUGCCGAAGAAACAUUUCUACGGUUGCAAGAAAUAAGUGUUAAAAAAGUCGUUCUGUAUAGUUUUCAAUACGAGCAAAUUGUAUUUUUGAAAUUGCUAAAAGCUCCAACCUUAAUAUAACGUUUUAAAAUAAAUCUGAUACAAUUACAAUUUUAUUAACUAUUUUGAGCUUUCUUCGGCAACUAAAAAGUGCAUUAUGGCAACAUCGAGAUAUUUUAAUAUUCAGUAUACGAGUAGUAUGUGUUAGAAUAUACAUGCACAUAUGCCAUUUAGACCGAAAAAUACUACGAAAAAUAAAACAAAUUACAAAAUUGACUUAAGCACUUCACAGUUUUAUAAACGUAUAUAAUAUUUUAGAAGGACCGCGAACAAAUUGAAUUUCAACCCGCGUAACAUUUUUCUUUUUGAAUUAAGAUAAUGAAAUGAUAUUAUACUCUUCUAUGAUAUGCGAACCGUACGACAACAGAGGUGUGACUUAUAAUAAGGUUAAAACAACGUACACGUUAUGUUAUUUCAAUUCGAAUUCGGACAAAAGUCUCAAAUCUCCGAGACUUUAUAACUAACAAUGGAACUGUAAGUAUAUAUUGCUGGCCGACAUUGAAUUAAUAUUCCGUCGAGAGCCGUUGAAAUGGAAACGCCGUUGAAAACCGUAUAAAUCCGCAUUGCUUUAUUAAUUUACGCACUUAUAGUAACGUAUCAAUUUAAAAUCGAUCAAUAUGCACCGUAAAAAUAAUGUUCGCAUUAGGGGAAGUUUAUUUCAGAAAUGUACAUCAAAAUAAUGAAAAACUACAGACUAUUGUUGUAGGUCUGUAUAGUUAUACGCAUACGCAUACGAAUCUCAACUGCAUACUUUUUGUAAAUCAUACAGAUAUUAUUUAAAAAUCUAUUAGAACGCGCAUUAGUUGAAUAUUUCAAUAAUACUCCAUACAAAAUUACCUACGACUAUUCAAUUAAUGAAACUUAACUAAGGCCGACGGGGGAGAGAGGCCAAAGUCCUUCGGGCCCCUCCCUUAAAUCCGCCACUGCCAUACUGCAUAAUAGUAUUAUACAUUAAUUGUAUAUUAAUAUACUUACCUAAUAAUAUACAGUACGCAUGGAUUCAAGAUGUACAAUUCGGUUAAGUUUAUAUAAAUUGAUAAUUAAUGAUCUCGAACACAUUACUGUGCUCUCAAUAUUUCAUAAAGCAAUCUUUAAUUCAAAUAUAUAAAUCAACUCAGGAAUAUUACUAGUGUUAACAAAAUUAUUUUCUGACAGCUAUAUAUUGUAUUAGAGUAAAAAUCAUCACGUAUAUGAAUAAAUAUAUUACUAUCGAUGGAAAUGAGUGCGUUGUUAAUACAGAAAGCAACAAAAUUGUUUUUUUUUUUUUUUAUAUUUAUAUUUAAAGUUAAUUUUUUAGUAGGUGUUUUUUUCUUGAAAAUAUUUACUCUAUUUAGGCUUUAAGUAGUUUUUUUGAACCGUUUCCUAAAAUAUAUCGAAAAAAAGAAGACUACAAGUUUCGUCAGCAUAAUGUAACUGAUUAUUAAUCCACUGACAUUCAAAUCACAAAUAUAAUUAAUACAUAAACUAUACGAAAUUUGCCCCAAUAAAACUGUCUUAUGGCACACUGUAACCAAUUUUUUUCGUUUUGUUAUUGAAAUUUACACUUUCUCUGUUAACUCCGAAAUCAGGCAAAAUAUUACUCAGCUAAAUUUUAGACUACGGUGUCAAAUCUCAAACGCUUUUGCUAAAUUGUCUAAAUCCAAAAAUAUUACCAUAACUUGUUGGCUAUUAUUUAAUUGAUUAUAAAUUACUGUGGUCGUUGAGUUUGUAGAACCUAACCCGGUCAAAACCCAAAAUGGUUUUUUGAUAUCUAAUAGUUCAUUUUUUUCUAAUUAUUACAAAAACUGAAGCUUUGUAACUCAAGAAUUAUAAGUUAUAUUAGACACGUAUUUUUUUUUUUUUUUUAUAAAAUCGAUACAAAUUAAAGACGUUACAAUAAAAUUUGAAUUAUUUUUAAUUUUUUAACUGAUAUUCUAUUAAAGCUAAAAGCUUUUAAAUCCUUUACAUUUGUAUUUAUUCAACGCUUCAUUUUUUCCAACGGGUAUUAAUUCAUUAAAAUACUAUCAAAUACAUUCAUAUUAUACGUCAUACUUUUAGUAGAAACGUUUUAAUAUUAGGUUUAAUUUUUCUGUAAAUUACACGGUAAAUGCCAUUGCAAGUAUUGAUACUCGAAAUCCAUUUAACUUACAACAUGUAACGCGAUUAUAAUGAAUAUAAUAUGGAAAGCAAUUAUAAACACUGUGCAAGUAUUAGUAGAACGAGUUUUCGAUUUAAACUCCAAACACUUUUUAAAAUAUUUAAAUUCAUAUUCGGAAUUCGAAUAUUUGUAUUCAUAAAUACUGUUAAUCAAACGCUCUACAAGUCCACUCGGCCACUGUAUGACUUCGGUGAGUAUCGGGUGAAGAAUUUGCGCACGUAUAUACGUCUUUUCGGAAAUUCAUAAUUUCGAGUACCGGUUGUUGUGUAAUAUUAUAGUAGAUAAUAUAUUAUAGAGCUACCCCAGUACUCUUUUGUAAUCUAUAAUGCACGUUGUCAAAUUGAAUAUAUAUAUAUAGGUAAGUGCACUGUUAUUGUCACUUUCAGCGUGUGUGCGAGCAUAAAAGUGUCGCGUAUACGCGCGGAGGUAUAUAAUAAUAAACGUUUAGAAUUUACUAUUCUAGGGAAAUAAAAAAAAUAAAGAUAAAAAAAAAUAUGAAAGCGAAAGAGAGAAAUAAGACACCGUAUGCAUUAUUUAUUGUUCCGACACCGUUUGUAGCCCUACUCCACUAAAGGGGGAGAAUAUUUCGUAAUGUACCCUGCUACAAUACAAUACCUACUCGCCGUUUCACGGUACAAACAUAAUGUUUGAUGCUAUUAUUGUAAUAUUCGAUCGAUUAAUGAUAAGAAUAUUAUACAAUCGAUCGAUGUAGCCGAAUUACCGCAUUGAGAAAAUUUUUUACAAGCGCGUUCGUUAUAACUACAAAUCAUAAACGAUUUUUGAAAGGUUUUUGAACCCACACAUUGUUUUUGUUUUUUUUUUUUUUUUGUGUGUAUUUGAAUUAUAUUAUAACGAUAAACAAUAUAAUUUCAACGCGAUUACAAGUUUAAACUCGACGAGAAAGCAAAUACCACACGCAAGUGAAAUCGUGAAAUGUUACAGAUCAAAUAAGUAAUGAAAAUACGAUAAUGUGGUUAUAUAUAUACGUCCUAAAAGUUUUCUAUUGGUUUUGUAAGUUAGCGACGAAAAUGAAUCAUAAAUCAAACCUAUCCCAUAAUGAAGUUUGAGGACCAGAUAUCGAUCGUUUAACUCGAAAAUAAAGAACAACAACUUACAAAUUUUUCCGAGGCGGUGAAACUUUAUAUACUUGUAUUAUAUAUAUAUAUAUAUAUAUGUAUAUGUGUGUGUGUUUCUAUGACAAGUGUGUUAAAAGUUGUCAUAGAAACCUAUUAAAUUAUAUGUGUGUUAAAAGUUAUAAUUUAAUAGAUUUUCGAAUACCCGAUAAUAAUAAUAAUAAUAGACCGUAUUUGUCUGAUUAUAAAUAUCCGAAUUUCUCACAAUGUAUUGUAUUUAUUAAAAUUAAAAUGUACUAUUGACUUUUUAGAUAUUAUACGUUAGUUUUGUAGUGAGAUCGUAAUGUUUUAGAAAUAAUAUUAUCUUUCAUACAUUUUAUACUUUGAAGUUUAAUAUAACGUAUAGGUACGGCGAUUCUCAGAAAUUAAAUCAAUAAUAUUUUCUGCUGAUAUUUUCAUCAAAACAGUAACAAUAAAAUAAUUAUUUUCUUCAAAAAAAAAUACAUAUAUUUUUAAAAACACGACAUUCUAAAAUGGACGCAUUACCUUUACCCUAAGUCUUUCAAUAAAAAAAUAUUAUUUUAGUCUUAAAGUAGUACCUACUACGUAAUAAACAAUAAUCUCGGCCAUUUCACUCCUCGCCAAGUUGUAAGUUUAAACGAUUACAAACAUAAUAAACUAACGGUUCAGUAUUAAAUGAGUUUACUCUCGUAUAUAUAAUAUACAUAUAUGUAUGUAUAAGUAUAAAAUUCAUACGUUGCAAAAAUUAAAAACAAUGACAUCGGUACCGCGCCGUAAAUUUUUUCCGUAUAUAUUUAUUAUAAUUUUCUUUCAAAGUUUUCCCAAUUAUUUCGAAAACUCCGUGCAAUAUUUAAAAAAAAAAACCACUUCUCUAAUUUCCUUUUAAAAAAAGGUACUAUACUCUAAAUAUCAGAGCAAGAUUUCUUUUCGAAAAGUUGUUUACACACAAAAAUAAUAAAGCACACAUGAUAGUGAAACCAAUGGUAAUGCUGUCGAUAUUUUUGUAGCUGGGCCGAGCCCCUCGAUAUAUUUUGAUAUACAUUGCAAUCUUUAAAAAUAUGCCCCUUACCCUCUUCGUACGUCCGAUUACGCCACUAAAUCGACCUGUACGUAUAUAAUAUAAAUGUACCAUAUUAAAAUAAAUAAUUCAGUAAUAAGUUUGUGUUUAAUUUAUCGGCGAUAAAACAAUGUUUCGGUAUAUGGGCGCAAUAGAAAUUAAGUAUACAUGUGUAUGCUUGAUGGCAAUAAAUACCUACGUUUCACAUUACAUUUUUCUAUUCAAUAUUAUUUAAAAAGCCUACAUAAAUUAAAAAAUUUAAACAAUAUUAAAUAUACAUAAUACAUUAGAAACUCCGUAAAAUAUGCCCUUUUUUCUCGAAAAUUGACGAAUUAUGCAAACUAUGACUUUAAUAUGUUCGAUUUUUAAACUCUCAAUAGCACAGAUUUCUUGCUUUAUCGGCCGUAAAUCGAGAGUAUAUACCGAUUCAAUUCCUAUAACUUCCGAGCACUCAUUACUACUCAUUACGAUAAAAUAAACUUUCUAAUAUCUCUUGAAUUUUAAAUGUAUUAAUUAUUACAUUUGACACCAAAAGUGAACGUUGGGGUAUCAUGUUAAAUUAGUCAUACGUUAUUAACAUCAUAUCUCGCCAAAAAUUACUAAAUUAUUUAAAUAAUCCGUUGUAAUAGACAGCGCUAAAAGUUCUCAACACCCUAGCGGAUGAAUAAUAUAUUCGCCUAUUUUGGGUUUGCGUAACAUCAAAAUAAAGUAUGAAAAUUAUUAAUUUAGUACCGUUAACAAAAAUAUUCUGGAACGUGAGAAAAUUGCUUUCAUUCGAAUCCAUCAUGAGUAAAAAGAAAUGUAUAUAAGUUCUAAAUUAAAUAAAAUAUUGUGAGCAAAAUAUUAACAAACGAGCCUUUUCUAGUUAUUUAAUGUAUAUUUUAUAAAAAAAACUAAUAUAAUUUGAAAAAAAAAUUAUACAUUAUUAGUGUUAAGAGUUAAUUUAAACAAAUAAUUAUAGAGUUGAAAUUUUCAAAAAUGUUGAUAUUUUUUUUUUUAUUUUUACAAAAUAAUUUGAUUAAAAUACAGUAAAUAUAUUUUGUAUUCAAUCAUCAAGGUUAUCCGCUAUUUUACUUUAUUUAAUUUAAAUUCGUGUACUAUUUAUAAUCUUAGAAACGUUUUGAAGAUGUUUACUUACAAACAACUCCUUAAAGUAAUAAAGGAAUACUCACAACUUCACUACAGCAGCUAUUGCAAUCUGUUUGUUUUUCAUAACAUAAUCGGUCUGUGUUUGUUGAACAACUUUUCUAUAUUCAUCAUAUUAAAUUUGAGAGAAAUUAAUUAUAUACGAGUUUGAUUUAAUUUUCAUAAAUUGAGCGUUUAUAUUUAAACUAAUUUUAGGUAUUAUAAAUCAGAUCUAUUCGAUUAAAACAAUUUAAUGAAUCAGCGGUAGAAUAAAAUAUCAUGAUAUAGAUGCUUGCAGUUGCGUAUUACGAAUUAUUUUUUUAGCCAUGGGUGAAUUAACACAAUUUAAAUGUUAAGUCAAACUAAAUCAUACCAAGACUACCAGUAUUACAAAAUGUAUGUGCUUCUGGCGGAAAAAGUUGAUGGAACCGAUAAUUUCCCCGAAAAUACUUCACUGGGUACUCGUAUAACUUUCAGCUGAUUAAUAUGUUUUGAUAUUGGAAGGGAAGUUUUUGGUAUGUGAAUUUAAUACUGUUUUAGAUUUUAAGUAAUAACAAAUAGGAACUAUAUGUGUUAUAAUUUUAUAAAGAUGCGUUUUUUCUUAAUAAAACACUUUUAUGGUUAUAGUAUAAAUGAUCGGAUUCUUGCCUGUCAUUCCUUAAGAGAUGAUAAUUUUUAACCUGAUUGUAUGUUAUUUCAACGAUUUUUUUUAAAUUCAUAAUCUACUUUCAAAAGGAUUAUUUUUUCUUCUUUAAUAAACACAUUUGUGACUUUUUGAAUUAAUUAAAUGACCGCAUGUAUCCUAAUUUCUUAUCUAUUCCCCCGAAAAAAUACCCAUCCAGUGAGCAGUAUCAACUUAUUUUAAAUAUUACAAUUAUUCAAUUAAAAAAAAUAUUUAAUUAGUUCAUUUUCACUUUUAACUGGGGAACUGAUUAAAUAAAUCGCCUAUACUUGCGCUUACAAAUUUGAGAUAUUAAUAUGCUUUGAAAAUGAAAAUUAAACAUAAGAUUGUAAUAUAAUUUUGUUGAAUUACUUAAAAGGGACUGAACGUUAGACGGGAUAUUUUUAAUAUAGAAAUUUCAAAUUUAACAGUACUAAAACAAACAAGAAGAAUUAAUAAUGUUAUUUUCAAACCAUCGUCGUCGAUUCAUUUUAUUUAACAAGCGUACAACAAUUGGUUAAAUAUAAAUUAUACAAUCUAUAUUAAAAUAUCCAAACGUUUGUAAUAUGAAAUUUAUUAUUACUGACGCAGCCAUAAUGACAGCGAACUGUUGACAAAAGAAUCGUUGCAGAAUUUAUAUUUUCCCCGUGGACAUACCUUACCUCCCACUGAUUUUAAUAAUUCAUUUUACGAUACUAACUAUGGUAUAAUACGAUUUUGAUGUAUACCAAUUAAAACGUUGUAUAAAUGCCUAAACGCCUUUAUACCAAAGACAAUACAUUUUAUAAAAUAUUAUAAAUGAUGUUUCUUGUUAUAUUGAAAUCGUUUUUUCUGCAAAAAGGUUUGAUGACAUUUUAUAGCCAUCAAACGAAUGUUCGAAAAUAACGUAGGUACAUUAUUCACUAUUAUUAUUACGCAAAAAACCCGGUGAUGUCUUCAAAAAGUCUUUCCCGAUAGGCAAUAUUUGUAAAAUAAAAUUUCAUACCUAUAGGUUUUAGGUUAGUCGCGUAAUUGGGAGAUGGCAAGAGGUCAUGCUUGUGACCCCAAAUAUAAUACCGGGGUAGCAAAAGUAUUAAUCUGCUACCCUUAAAAUGUCUGUAUUUAUGGUUAUUCGUUAGUAAAAAAAUUUAAAUCUGUAAGUAAUUAUUUAAUUAUGAAAAAAUAAAUAUUCUAAAAUAAUAACGUUAAAAUGUCAUAUUAUCAAUAAUCCGCCAAUGAAUACAUUACAAUUGAUUGUAAUUCAAUAUCGUAAAUUAAAUAAAAAUUAGUCGAUAUUUAGAUUUAAACUGUUCUGUCGUAAAUUUAAAUAACCAUUAAAUGCAUUAAACAUUACUAUAAAUAAUUUAAAAUAGAGAACAACAGUAAGAUGGUAUACAGUUUUAAAAUUCUGAAUAUUGUAUACUAAUUGUAAAACAUUAUGUGAUUUAAUUCAUAGUUUUCAAUAGUAUGUACCCAUAUAAGAAUUAUAUAGAUUUAUCAUUAUAAAUAUAUUAUCUAUCUAUCUUAUGUAUUUUAUAUUGAUAAUAUGAUUUUUUUGUUUUUGUUUAAUAAUUAUAUUUGAUUGUAUUGAGACAUUAUUUGUAACGUUGGGGUUAUGGGACAAAUAAUCUUACGGGUCUGUGCAUCUUGAAUUAUUUUUGCAACCCCAGAAAUUAUACCAAAAUCACGCCACUGUUUUAUGUGUUCUAAAAAUGGUUCUCGACCUUUUUCUCCGGAUAAAAUUCUCGAAUACCUACUCACAAUGCGUUUUGCCCGAAUAGUAUAUUGAUCUCCAAAUAGUAUUUGUCAAUUUUUCCCGGUACUCUACAGUAGGUUUGAAUAUUUCUAAUCGUUUAAUUAAACUUGUUUUUUUUUUUGUCUAAAUACUCUUCGGGAAAAAUACUAAUCGAGGAUUAUAUUUUUUAGGAAAAAUAACAUUUGAAAACUCUGUUCGGGAAAUUUAAUUCGGAAACAAUACAAGGAAUCCUACAAAAAUUCCUAUUCUAGAAAUUCUUUUAUACUUUCGUUUUUUUUAAAUUGAUGCCUCGAUACUUGUAAAAAACGUAUUAAUGAUACGAUAAAAAAAAAAGUAUAGAUACGCCAUUUUCAAAGUGGUCCGGGAUUAUGAAUAAAAACGUCAAUCAACGAAAACAAAAACCAACACUGUAUUGAUUUUUUAAGUAGUGCAGAUAUUAUUUAUAUGCUUUUGCAUAUUUAUAUUGAUAGUCAGAAAAAGUUUUUAUUUUCUUUUUUUUCCAUACAUAAUAUAUUACUCAAAAGAAAAAGGACUGAAAAUAUUGAUACAUGAUGCGAUUUUGUUUAAAAUUUAGUAAAACAUUUAAAAAAAAAAUAACUUUAAUUUUGAAAAUUUGAAGAUUUUAUUAGUUUAUACUUAUGUAUUUUGAAUAUGUUGACGUUUCGUCUUUUUAUUUUCAUUUAAUUAAUGAUAUUUUUUCUUUAGUUCAGAGAAAAAUAGUGUAUAAAUAUUAAUAACACCAAUAUAAUGUUUCGAAAAUAUCCCAUCUAGUUUUCUGAUAUAUUUUGUUUAGUUAUAAGUUUUGAGAUAAUAACAAAACACAAUUAUGUUUAAUACAAUAUAUUGACAAUCAUGAAUUAAAUUAAAAUAAAAAGUUAUGUUUUCAGAAGAAGAACUCGCUAUAAAACGGCUAUAUUCAAAUUUGUCAGAACUAAUAAAAUAAAAAGGUUUUUUUUUUCAUUUUUUCGCCAAAAUAUUAUGCGAGUUUAAUUGAAACAUUAACAUUUGUAAUCCUUCAUCAUUUUUUUUAUCUCAGUACAGAUAUCGAAAUGGGCGUCCAAUCUUUGUGAGACACCCUGUAUAGAUACAAUAUAAAAGCUUUUUUACUAUGAAAUACGAGUCAGUACAUUCAGUAUGUUUCGUAUAAUAACAAUUAUCUCUCGGUAGUCAGUGAAAAGCAAACGUCUUAAUGUCAUUGAUAGGGUAACGAAGACGUCCUCAUUUCAUUCACAGGUAUUCAGAAAUACACGCCCACAAAAACACAUAUGUGUGCACACAAACACAAACUCGCACACACGCGCUUUUAACAUGGAUAAAUGAACCUGACGAGAGAUAACGACAAGGGUAGCGGUACAGUAAUAAUAUCGCAUAUUAUUAUACUAAUCCGAAAGCCCUAGAACCCCAGUAUUACAUUUAUUUACAUGUUAUAAGUGUUUGAGACGUGUUUACGCUGUCGCAACAUCUACUUUUCGAACAAAGACAAUAAUAUGAUGUCGACUACAGACUAAUGUCAAAUAUUAUACACUAUUUUUGGUCCCUUUGAAUCAAAACACUUCCGAAAUCUAUACUAUGCCGAGUCACAAUAAGAAAAUCAACACAAUAUCGUAUUAAAAUACGCUGGUAAUAUAACCUAACAACGUGGAAAAUGAAAAUAGCAUGUAAUUUGUAAUAUUUUUAAAUUGGUAAAUAUAUUCAAAUUUCAAAUAAAUUAAUCAUAGAGAAUACUAAAAAUAGAUUAAAAAUAUAAAAUAUAAAAUCAAUAAAUCCUUCACUCUACUGAAUUAUAGCAAUACAAACAAAAAAGAACGGAUAAUGGGGACGGGUGCGGCCACUGCUGUAGGUGGGUAGUUGGGAAGAUAGGAUACCUAAAGUUAUUUUAUUGUACAUGUAGUAGGUGUAACCAACGAUGAACUAUUGCAAACGAAAAACGAUUUGGAGUGAAGUACGAUUAUGCAUGAUUUGAAAAGCCGUAAUAUUUAUAAUUUUAAUCAAAAAUUGAUUUUAAAACUUGUAAAAAAUACAAAACAAGACACUACAUAACAGUUGGUUUUUUUUUUUUUUUUAACACUAAGUACAAUUUAUAGUGAAUCUACAUUUCAAAUGUUCACGUAUUUUGUGUUAAGUCUAACAAUUUUAUCUACAGAAAUAAAAAUUACAUAAAAAACUUGAAAAAUUAAAAUGGCUAUAAAUAGCUCAAAAAUAGCAAGAAUCAUUUGAAAAUUUUACCGCGUCUGGCAAAAAUUAAAUAUAAUUUUACUGUCAAAAUUUGAAAAUUUUAUUUUUUCUAAUUACUUCGAUUACUACUUACGAACUUUCUGCGUGUCACAAGUUGGGAACCUAUGGAGUAGAGUACAAAAAUAAAUCUGUGUUGUAGACUUUCAGGAGAAAGGAGUAUUAAAAAAAGGGGUAUGUGACUAAUUGAGGAAAUGUAUAACGGAGAAAGGAGCAAAUUAAAGAACAGAAAAUCAGACGGUUUUAGGGUAAAAGUAUGUGUGCACAAGUGUUUGGCACUGUUUUUCUUGAUAAUGAAUGAAAUGACUAUUGCAGGGUGAGUAACCGUGGUGUUUGAUGUUUGCAGAUGAUGUAGUAGUGAGAGUAGUAGGAAGUUUGAAAGAAAUUAAGGGGGAAAUUAAUUAUAGGCUCGAAGAAUGGAAAACUGAAAUUGAAGAAAACGGACCGAGGAUUAAUACGGGGGUAAAACAGAAUGACGCAUAGAGUGGCUGUUCAAUAAAGACUGAGGGGGAUGUUCACUAGGUACCAAACCUAACAACACCUGCAGAAAUUGAUGAUUGGAGUUUCUGAAAGAAAAAGUGUUUACUGUAAUAAAAAUUCACUUAGUAAAUCAGAUACAUUAUCUGGCAUAUUCCAUAUUUGUCAUUUAAAAACCUGUUUAAUUGAAUUAAACACUGAAUGUUUUAAAUCUAGCAAAUAACAUUUUAUUUAUUUAUUUUACAUAUUCCAGGACAUCUAUUUCUACAAUAUGGCUAGUGAUACGAACAGAAUUAGUGUACCAAGAUUUGGUCCAAAUUAAUUUAUAAAUCACAUGAGUGCUCAAAAAUCGCUCUUCAGUGUUCACUAAAAUUUAUAUUAUUUCCGACAAAAAAACGUAUAACAUAAAUGAAAAUAGUUCAGCAAUUAAUAUUUUAUUAUUUUUUAUAAUAUUUAAUACGUAUAUUUUUUUAUUUUUUUUUUUUUAACUUAUAAGCAUGAAAAGAAAACUUUUUCUAUUUGGAGAAAAUCACAAAAAUAAACUGUCAAUUGAGUUUAAUAUAAAGGCUUAAUGCAUCAGAUUAAAUAUUCAUUUCAAAGGAAAGGACUUCAGACUAUUCCAUCAUUUUUAUGAACAUUAACAAAAAAAUAAAUAAAUCGGGCAUUUGCUUUUUAAAAUAAAUUCAUAAUACUUUGCGAUACGUUUUAUUUCUUUUUUAAUACUUUUGCGACAAGGACAAACGACCGCUUAAACGGUGACAGCUUUUUUUAAAGGGUCUUUUGUUCAAAUGCCAAUGUUUCAAAGUAGGUCAGUUACACGUACAUUGUCGUUGACCACUUUUCAAGAAGCGAGGGCAGGUAUUAUACGAAUUCACUAUCAAAAAUAACAUUUCAAUAUGGCCCACACAGUUGAAACUUAAUGAAACAAUAUAAAUUAAUAUAAUUCAAUUCUAAUGCGAUUUGUAUACUUAAUGGAAAUAUAGCUACCUAUUAACUGAAUUCGUUAAACGCUACAAGUAGUAAACCUCUAAAAAAACAAACCAAAAAUACUCAUACAACAAUAAACUGGAAAAUAACGUUAUAACGAAAAGUUUUCAAAUCGUGUGAACGCAGAACAGUUUUAAAAUCCAUAUGUCAUAUAAUCAAUGCAAUUAGCAACAAACGAGUACACAGACUUUUUUGUUAAUCAAAUUAAAAAAACAAUUUGUCUAGCUUAUACGGGUCUAAUGUUGCAGUUUCAACUUUUGUCCGUCUAGGUUAUCUGGUUCCUCCCAACUUGCUGCUUAAUUAAUUUCCCUGGUAUCUUUCCUAACUCAAUCUAGUCAAAGUUAGCGUGGCGUCACGGCCUUCCUCGAGUUCACAUCUUAUUUAGGUGGCUAACAAACACAUUUCUCAUUCGAUUUGCCUUGGCUCUCGAAAUAUGCCACAACCAUUAUAAUCAUUCGUGUACGAGGCAUUUUUAAAUAUUAGAACCGUGGAAAUCGCUCUCAAUAUCCGCGUUAGUUUUCCUAACACACUGGAACAAAACAAAUAAAUCAUUUUUUAAGAGUUAUUAGCAGACGAACUGUAUGGAUUUUAAAACGUACUGUGUAACACAAGUGUAUAUCCGGAUUAGAUAAUAUCAUUUUAUUGACUAUUAAUGAACAUUUUUUUUUCGACCACCCAGAUUAUGCAUAUCAUAUAAUAUUACACAAUAUAUGUUAAGCUAACUGAAAGACAUAAUAAAUAAUAAUAUUGUGCAAAUACAGCAGGUAAGUGUGUUUCAGUCAUCAUAAUAUUUCUUAGGUAGGUACCUACCUAGUGCAUUACCAUUCAAUUAUAAUAUAAUAUAAUGCUAUAUUUGCCCAAGUUCAUUGUUGACUCGCAUUGUUCUUUUGUCAUUGUUUAGAGAUACUUAUAUAAUAUAUAUCUUUUCAAUUUUCUACUCUUAGAAAAAUAAUUUUAUUUCCAUACGAAAGAGCAGAGGUAGGGCGGAACAGCAGAGGGUACCGUUGUAGGUUAAGAAGGGAUCGGAAUAAUUUUUAGCGAAUACAAUAGAAGUAGAAUGGUAUUAUAGUUUUGUCAACACACGUGUAGAAAUACUUCCAAAUAUUUCCAAAUUAUAAUACUGUACUUGUAACAAACAGUUUGUAAAAUUAAGUAACAUAAUAACUGCAUACCUGGAGGAGGGUUAAGGGAGCUUCACAACUUCCCCACAAUUGUCCGCAUUAAAGUACAACAAAAAUAGUAUAAAUAAGUAAUGAAAUUUAAAUAAAUUUAACGGUAAAAUAUAUUUCAUAUGAAUCAAUAAUCAUCGCACACAGAGAUUUACUGGUCAAAUAGUAUACUAUCUCAGAAGACACUGGACGGACGUGGUGAAGGGUUGAGGGAUUUUAGAGAGAAACCACAGUCUCUCGAUUUUUACGGUGGGUGAUUUUGGUGACUCAUAUGACAUAUUGUUCUAUGAUCUGUAAUUGAUCAAAAUUAAUUGUACCUAUGUGUACAUAAUCUAAAAUAAUAACUAUUCUGGGAAACUGAAAUGGGUAAUACGGUAGAACUGUACAAAUAAGUACGAUAUUUAAUCGAUAUAGUGAUAUGUAUAGCAUUAAUGUUUAAAUAAUAAUUUCGGUGGAAAUGGCAAACUGCAUAUAUUUCUGAGUAAUGUUAGCAAAAGAUUUAAUCGAAUUACUUGCAUAUUAUAGAUAUUUUUUUGGGUGUUUAUAAACUUUAAAAUGAUGAAAGGGAACUGCAGUCCCUAAUUGUUUAGUAAACUAUUACACAAAGUGCGUAGCCUAAAAUUUGAAGUUUGUGGUAAGGAUUUGAAAAGUGUCUACUAAAAAAAAAAGACUAUUCCUUAUUAUAUAUAUACGUGACAAUAAUUAAAAAUUGCUGAUUUUUCUAAAUUUGUACCUACAUAAGAUAAAUAUCUAUGAUACCUGACAGAAAUAAAUUGUUAUCUGUCAUAUUUUUCUGAGUUGGCCUACUUUGUAGUACGACUUUUUUUUUAUAAAGAGUGAGUCUCCCGAAUCUUGUUGGUCUCAUAGAUAUAAAAAAAUAGUUCACCAAGCCGCUGAAUUACGAACUGUUAUCUGUAUUUAAAUUGUGGGGAGGUGGCCCGGUGUUUAUGCUAAUAAAUUUAUAUUUUUAUAUUAGUAUUAAAACACGUUUCCCUAUGAGUUUUCAACUAAAAAACUUGCUUUAAUCUUCAACUCUAGUGAUGAUUUUGGGAUAAAAAAUUUUGUUUAAUUGGAAAAUUUAGGAAGUCAUAUUUUCCUCUAUACUUUUCUUAAUAAUGAGAAAAAACCACAAAAAUACAUAGGAUAAACGAAAGUAUAUAUCGAUUUUUUCUUUCGAUUCUGUAUAUUAUUUCGUAGUUAUUUGGUGAAAAAUAAUCCUAGAGACUUAUAGAAUUUAAUACUUAUUUUAUAGGUGUCGUGAAAUAUUUAUAAUAUUCUAGGAUAUUUUUGGUUAUCUAUAACCUUUUAAAAUUUUAAAAUUCUUCUUUAGUUUUAUGUAGAUAAAUAUUUCUUGGUUCAUAAAAAUGCUAAAAAAAAAUAAACUUGAAUAAUCAUCGUAAGUUGACAAUGAAACAAACAUUUGAGCGUUAUAUAGUAAUUCAUUUUUUGUUUUUUUUUUCAGUUUUUAUUUUAAUCGUACCUAUGAUAAAAUUCAAAGAAAAAAAAAUCUAAAACAAAUGGAGACAUUUCACAGGAUGAAUGAACCACUGUUAUAGGUGAGAAUUUGGGAAGGUAGAGGGGAAAUUUAAUGUAUAUCUUUACGUGAAGAUUAAUAUUAUUAACGAACAACAAUUCUGAGCGGAGUUCGGUUAUACAUGUUUUGAAAUGCUGUAAUAUUUACGAUUUGAAAACAAUAUAUUUGGUACAUUUUCCCAUUUUCCCUCCACUUUUCCUGGUCUUUAUCAUUUAUUAUGAAAACUCCUGGGUAAAUUAAAAAUAACCUCUUUUUAAAAACAAAUAAAAUUCACAACUAACUUAUCAAAAAGUUUACGUACAAUGAGAUUUUUGUCCGCAUAAAAUAUGAUUUCAGCACGAUUCAAUUGUUAAGAUGUGUGAUAAAAUUCAAAAUUAUCAAUCAAAGAAAUUACAUCUGUAUUGUGUACAUGCAUUUAAUUUCCCAUAAAAUUAUAAGUUUUAGGUGUAUUAGUCUUUCGGAGUUGUUUAACUCAAUCAACUUAAAACGUGAUGGUAGAACAUAAAUAAAAGAAAAAAAACACCUAUCAUUUUAACUCCGAGAGUUCUUUGUUACUCGAAUACUUCGCUCGGAAUAUAAAAUAGAAAUUCUACGCAAGUUCCGAAAGAAAAAGAGAACAAUGUUUUUUCUAAUUAAAAAUAAUUAAAAAGAUGUUGUGUACCUAACAUAAUAUAUUAUAUUAACGUUGUUUUUUUUUUUUAUUUAUUAUUAUUAUUUCGUUACGAAGAACACACGUUUUAUUAUUUUAAAAACAUUUAAAUGGGUUAUUUCAAAAAGUUUAUAACACUCACCGCAUAGUGUUUUAAUCAAAAUUUAAAAUCUUGAGUUUUUAAAUUAAAAAAAUGUAACACAUUUUUAUACUUAGGCAUUUCUGUUUACUUCGCGCUAUCGUACUGCAGUGUCAUUUUACACAAAUUUAUCUGGGUUGUCAUUUUUCAUUCCGCUUUGCGUCCGAAAAUUGUUUUGCAGACGGAACGAAAAAGAGAGAAUAAAAAUAUAUAUGAUAUUAUAACCAUGUCCUGCGCGUACACACAUGGAAACGGAUUUCGCUCCUCCGGCGGCAAUGGUCGUGUAUCAUUUGACAGGCCAUUCCGACACAAACCCUUUAAUUUCGCGUUACGAAUUGUGUUCGGGGAGUAUAAAAAUUCAUUUGUCAUAUUGCCCCGUCAACCGUCUCGCCCCGGCGGAUUAUGUUCUGGUAAUGAGUUUUUGUCCCCGUGUACCCCCGUCGCUCCCCCCGCCCCCUCCGCCAUUUACUUUUCUCCCCCACUCACCGCUUCGGAUGUUCCCGAAUAGCUGAAUAGCCAUUAAGACCGAAGAUACUAUCGUGGUUGAAAAAUUGUAAACCGUUCGAGCCUUUUUUUUUUCUUUUUUCUUCCUUCGGCCGAGUGCUUCGUGCUCGCGAUCAUGGUGAUAACGCACAAGUCAAAGGGUAUAAACCUCUUUUCCUCGCCUCCUAUUGUACACCGUACUGUACCCUCUACAGUUCAAGAGAACAUCGAUCUGUAAUUCCAUCUGGCUACUCGCUGCAAGGACAUUAUAAUCAAACGUGUUCGUAAUGCAAAUAUAAUAAUAUAAUCGAUAGGUAUUUUAAACAACGAUAUCACCGGUAUAGAAUUACGUUAAAAUUUACAGCUGAAUAGGUCCAAUCAUUAUUAUACUUAUAAAUCAUAAUAAUAAUACCUACUAUCCUUUAGACGUUUCAUUAAACACCAUACAAAAGUCAUCAUUUAUUACUAAUUGAUUUAGAAUGCUAAUAUGAAACAUUUGGAAACUAAGAUGCCUAUAGUUAUAUAAUUUGUAUCUGUACGCAACACAAAAUCAUUGUUAACGAAAUACGAUUCUGAGCGAAGUUUGGUUACAUGGUUUUUGAAAUGAUUUUUGGUUAAAAUUUGAAUUUAAAAAUUUCCUACUAAAAGUUAUUUUAUAUUACACGAUUUUUUUUUUUAUACCACUAAAAUAACUUAUGAUUAACCUCGUGUAAAUUUUUCAAGCAUUUUUCCUUGGACGAAAUAAUUUUAUUAGCAUUAAACCAAAUCAAAGUUAAAAAAAAAAAAUACGUAUAAAUGUCAAAUGGUUUUAAAUAGCUUAAAAAUUAACAUAAUAUUUUUGAAAUUCGACCACUUCUAUAAAAGGUCAAAACAAGUAUAUUUAUAAUGUAUUCUAUAUUUUUGUGUCAUUAUAAUUAUAUUUUUAGCCAAAAAAAAAAAAACUUUAUCUAAAAUAAUGAAACCGUGAUUGUCGUAAAUUUUUCCAGUUUUUCUAUGUUUUUUCAAUUAUUUAGAAAACUCCAAAGAAAAUCAUAACUGAUAAUUUGAUACAAUGAUGCAAUUUGCUUUUAGACAAGAUACCAUCCUCGAAAAUCGGAAUAAUAUUUUUGGUUUAAAAGUCGAUUGUAACUAAAAAAGAAUAAAAUAAAAUUUAAAAAAAACACAUCAUAUAUUUAAAUCCAGAACCGUGUUAAACUAUUGGUCGCCCAGGGGUAUCAAUUUUUAAACGGUCCCUGUUGAAGGUCUUACGUGGGGAUGAUUUGAAAGGUUUUUUCCGCCGAAUUCUAUAGUUUUUAUUACAAUUUUAUUAAAUACAAUUUACCUCCGUCAAGUAAUAGGAUUUUUUCUUACUACUGAAUGUUUUUCUGGGUAUACAUAUUACUUUACUUGGUUUUACUUGCGCUCUAAGCAAAACGUUUGAAAAUAAAAUAAAUAGCAAGCGCCAUAAUAUAAUAAUGAUAUUGUUAAUUAAAACUCGAGAUUUAUAUUGAGCCGGACGGUCCGUAGUUUUAAAAAAUUUGACGUCCCUAUUGGCCCUCCCCCUUACUUUACCACGGCUCUGUAUAAACCGAUAAAUUCCUCGCCGCGUUCAAAACGUAAUCGAACGUGCACGUUAAGCGCAAAACCGCAUUAAACAGAUGACGGUGACUCGCGAUAACCUAAAAUGUGAUGUCCGUUUUAGUCUAAGGCCCGUUUCACACGAUACUAGUUAUUGGGGGGUUAUCUCUAGCAUACUAGCUAGUUUUAUAUAUUGCAUUCAAUCUAGUGUACUAGAACCUGUACUAUAUAUUCUAUUCAGACCAUAAUGCACGAUACACUAUAAAAUGUACUAGAAACUAGUAGCAAAGAUAAGAAGGACGAUAAGAAAACACCUCUAUUCUUUAUACUACGGUUUUUGAUUAUUGUUUUGUAAAACAUUGUUUACAGUCGUGAUUGCAUUGCAAUAAAUAUUGAUAAAAUGUCUGUAUUCUGAUUGGUUCCAAAUAUUUGUACGACGCUAACUGGCGUGGAAAAUAUGAUAUGUUUUAAUAUCAAAACUAGUAUAUAUACUGGCCAGCGUGAUUUCUUUAACCAGUGUACUAUCGCGCUGUUCACACGGGCCAAAAUUUAGGAUACUGGCUAUCACGCUAGACCUAGCACGAUAACUAGUGCCGUGUGAAUUCACGGAACAAAUAUUGUACUGCGAAAUUCAACGACUUUUUAUUAGUAGAAACGCGCACAAUAGACGUACGAUUGUUCGACAUCAUAUAUAUAUAUAUUUUUUUUUUAACGACGAUUAAAAUAAAAAUUUAAAUCAACGUGCGCUUUACACACUCGUAUUUGCAUUUUGCCUGUUUGGCAUAUAAAAGGAUAUUAUCGCUGUAUUAUUUGGCUAUAAAAUACGAGCGGGUAACGUUAUUCGUGACAAUUUGUUUGUCGGACCGCUACGCGAUAAUAUUGUGACGCGUAUUGUGCAUACUACUAUUAUGCACGGAUAUAAUAAUUGAAUUCCGUAUUUAUGGAUUUCAGUUUAUCAAAUAACAAUCUAAACCCCUAUGGUCUACGAUCACAAUAAUGUUAUAAUAUGCAGGUACGCGGUGUAUACUCUGAGUCGUUAAAUAACAAUCGAAAUUAAAAAGCCCGAAACUUCCCUGCGAACGGCACGAUUGCAGUGUGAUGUAAACAUCGUCCGGUUGGACUCGAACAAAAUCGUAUUAUUAGACGACAAAGACGCGACGCAUUCGAAAUGGGAAACUGAUCAAUUGUAUAUGACGGGUAAAUAAAACAACCCUUUUAAACGCAUACGUAUUUUAUUAUUUUAUUUUAAAAAUUACUAUUAGAUUUUAUUAUUUUUUUUUUUUUUAUGCCAAUGAAAAUCCUGUAAAAUUUAGGUUUCUCGAAAAAAAAAAUAUACACAUAUAAUAUAUACAUAACAACAUACAUAUAUAUAAGUAUAUACAUUACGCCCGUAUUUAAUUUAUUCAAACAAAAAGUUUUAACACAGACACAAAAACCGUGUAGACCCUUUGCAAAAAAUAAAAAAUAGUAUUUAAAAUUAUACCGUCGUAAUAUUUGGAAAAUAGGUGUUUUUUUUUUUAUAUUGUACACUUUAUAGAACAAAGGUAUAUAUUACAAAACACGUUUUCAAACAAGAGAUGAUUUCAUAAUAAAAAUUAAAUUAAAAACUCGACAACACUAUGUAUUAUUGCCUACCUAUUAUUUGUUUAAACCGUGUACAUUUACCGUAAUGCGCUGCGAUUAUUAUUAGGGGGCUAAUAUUAAUAAUAAAACAAAAUUAAAAAAACCGCGAUACGCAUUUAAAACGUUACGUUUCAGAAAUAUUAUUCCGAGAGUCUCUGAGUAGGUAUAAAACAUUUUAAUGCGCGUACAUAAUGUGUUAUUAGUAGCAUUACCUGCUACCCCAAUAAUGGAACGAGAACGUACGUAAUAUUAUUAUUAUUAUUCGCGGGACAUCGGCGUGACCAUAACCGAUUACUUAAUAAAAGAAGAAAGAAAGAAAAAAAAAAAAAAUUAGUUAUAAUAAUAAUUACGGUAAUAAAAAUGAAAUAUGGACGUAAUGAAUUCACACCGAGACCGAUUGAGUCGGGGAAAUAAUAUCGUGUGUAUAUAAUAACGAACGCGAUCGUUUCGAAAAUCGGGGUGAAUAAAUGAUUUAUACGGUACCUAUUCGUAUAAUACGCGUAUACGUGUACUACGUACGAGGCACUGUGGCGAUACCUGUAUUACGUAUACGUGUAUUGUGUUUCGAAAAAAAAAAAAAAAUAUUAUACGCAUAUAGAUAUUUUUUAUUUUUUUUUUUUUUUUUUCAAGCAAAUUGACCGCGUACAAAAUUAUUCGGAAAUAAUCGUAUAAUAUUAUCGUAUUACACGCGAAUACCGUAAAAACCGACUGGGUUUUUUUAUUUUUUUUUUUUUUUUUAACAAUAAUAUCGUAUAAAGCGCCGCAUGAACGCUGCGAUUAUUUCGAUGUGCGUUUUGCAGUAUCGGAUUUGGAUCGCGCUUAAAUUAUCGAAAAAAAAAAACCGUGGGACAUUUCGUCGCACACGAACAGAUACAAUUAACAUAUUCGGUAUUCUAUCGAAAUACGUCCUCGAUAAAAACGCGGGAUAACAAAUUCGUUAUUUUGUUCGUUUACGUCGUGUGUAUGGUGUGUGUACAAUGAACUCAAAAACACCCAAUACGAAAACGACCGAUUGGUAGGCGGCGCUUAAAUCCGGAAAAUCGUGACGUUAGGAGUGAUGUAAAUGACCGCGGACCAAUAGAAAUUAACAGUCCGGGAAGAUUUUGUCGGUUUACUGGGUGGUAUUAAAGGCUGGAAAUCAAAAAAAAAUAACAAAACAAAACAAACUAAAUGUAAAACGGACUAAUUUAAUAUUUGAAAUAUGAUAUGAUAAUACACUAUAAUACUUUUCCAUAGACUAGCCAGAAAAAAAACAGUUGCCGAAAGGUAUUCGAUUUCCUACAGGGACCCAGAUUUUCAAUAAAAUGCCAUAUGAUUAGAAAGACAUGCCGGUAAUGUUAUUCAAAAAUAAUAUUUCUCUUUGAUUCUAAUAUACGAAUAUAAUGCGCCUAAACAUAAAAUAUUUACCGUGUUCUAAUUAUCAGUAGUUAUAAUUAAUCUUGGGUAAUAUUUCAAUUGGCUGUCUAUAUUUAUAUGUAUUGUAGUAUUAUUUAUGUUAUGCCAUGUUUAUUAUGUUAUAAGAAUAUGUGUAAUGUUUUAUAAUGGAUGACCCUGGGCUUCCACACGUCUCUUUGGUAUUGAAAAUAAACAAAUAAUAUGAUACGAUUCUCUACUUUUUUUUUUUUUUUUUGUAUAUUUUAGAAAAAAUCAUUGAAAUCGGAUUUUUUUCAGUAGUAAGACAAAAUUUUCUUUGUCUCCAUAUUUGUUUAAUUUGUUUAUUUAAUGUGCAAUUAAUGAAAUGAACUCUGUAAGCAUAUCGAUAAAUGGAUACCAUUCACUUUGCAGAUGAUACAUAUAUUCUAACAGAAUUCGGAGAAGAAAUAAAUUUGUUGCUUAAAUUUAACACGGAAUUGAUAAAUUGAAUGCAAACAUAACAGAUAUCAACAAUAAACGGAUUCAACAAGUAAACGAAUUUUGCUAUUUACGAUGCCUGACAACAAACGACAAUAAAUCUACAAAAGAAAUAAGAAAACAAAUUGCAGUAGGGAAACAAGUUUUUGAGAAAACACUUAUUAGGUAUCAAUCGGCAUUUGGGUAUAACUUUAAGUAUAUUUGAAGAAUUCUAUUAUAUGGUUGUAAAACGUAAACGUAAUGUUAGGUACACGAGAAAUAUAGACGGGAGGCGAUGGUGAUGUGGCUAUUGAGGAGAAUUACAGAAACAAACUGAACAUACGACAAAUGAAACAAACAGUGCUGGACGAAGUUAAUGAUAGAAGAACAAUGAUGAAAAAAAAAUACAUUGAUGAAAAGAAAAAUGAAGCAAAUCGGUCAUCUGCUAAGACACAAUCACAGUUCAUCACCAAUAUCAUCGAAGGAAAAUAUGAACGAUAAAAGAACUCGAGACAGAUCACGUAAAUAUUUUUCCGAAGAAAUCUUCCAACGAAUAGAUUUUGUAUCUCAUACCUUCAAUUCAACGGCUCUUUUUCAAAAAAAAAAAAUAAUAAAAAUCAAUCAAAUUAAACAAAAACAAAGUUGAUUCCCGAAUAGACAAUUGUAAAUCAAUUCCAAUUAAUAAAAACUAAUAAUUAGAACUGAAAAACUGUAUAAUAAUCGUGCAUGAGGUUAAUUGACACGUAUUCAAAUAGUAAUUUGUAAUUGCAUUGAUGCGCGCAUUCCUAUAAUAACGUCGUAAAUGUGUCUAAUAAUUGUGAAGUAUGUCAAUUAUUACGGCACCAUUCAAUUGAUUAAAUAUUCUAUAAGUAUAUAGUGUUAUAAUAUUAUCGCAGGUAUAAUUUAUGCAUAACGCCACUUUCGUUUUAAUGCGGUGUGCAUACUGCAUAUAUAGUGCAUACAUAAUAAUAUAGGUACCUCCCCACAAAGUAAAAUUACAUUUUCAAAAUAUCUUUCGGAAAACGUAAAAUAUUUUCAUAUGAUUUUCUUUUCAUCUUCGUACGUUUUAAAAAUAUUUUUACACACUUUUUGUCGCAAAAAAAAAAAAAUCAUUGAAAUGUUUCUUAAUCACUUCAAAAAUAGUUUCUAUUAUAUUUUGAAAACAUUUGUUGAGAGAGAAGGGCCGGUUUUUGAAAAAAAAAAAAAUAGGAAAAUACACAAAAAUAGAUAAAAAGAAACGUUUGAUAUAAUAAUUUUAAUAGUUGAGGGGAGGAGAAAUUCAAAAAAAAUUUGCGAAAACCCGGCGAACGACAGCCGGGUUUCGAAUCGGGUACCCUAUUGAUCAAACCUAACGUAAAGGUACAUGUAAUAAUUUUAAAAGGUUUUAACAUGAUGUCAUUACAGAUAAUAAAUUUUAAAAAAUGGUUAUUUUUAAAAUUCCGUAUGACGUUUGAAAAAUAUUUUUUAACUAAUAGAAUUAUCAUCCAAAUGCUAUGUGGGUACUAUAAUAUAUAAACUAUUGGUAUACAGAUAUACCGGCGCAUUCGAAGUUUUUGUUUUGAAUUUAAUUUAAGGUUUGAAAUUUUCGAAAACCGAUUAUGCGUAGCGCUAGUAAAUAGUGUUUAAUUUCGAAUAGCGCGGACGUAAAAUAUAAUAUUUUCAACGAUUUCCGCGGUACAAAAUAUAAUAAUCAAUCAAAUUCGCCGCAGUGUACAUAUUAUAAUUUCAGUGAAUAUAAACGAUAAUUAUUUUUAAGCCUCGUCACCGCCGUACUAUACUCCAAACGUUUUUUUUUUUUUUUUUUUUUUUAAGUACAAACGGGCGCGGAAAAUUAACCGGCUUCGCAUUCGAUACCUUUUGUGUUCCGAUUUCCAGAAAACGUACUCCGCAGCGAGACGUCAUAAUAAAACGAAAAAUAUGGGCUGUCGUUUAAAACAUGGGCGAACUCACAGAGGUGUGGGGUCGAGGAGUUUAACCCCUCACCCUAUUAGCCGGUUUUUUUUUCGCAAUCGAUACGUUUAAAAUUUGUAAAGGAUGUGAAAAUCCAUUGUCGCAUCGUAUAGUUUAUACAUUUACAAUUACGAUACAAAUAAAUUUGUUAUACCGCAAAAUUAUCGAAAAAAUAAGAAGCGCGUUAAAUUUCGUAUUGUUAUUUUUUUUUUUUUUUUUUUUUUUUUUUUUAUAUAUUACAAUAUAAAUCGUAAUGUGUUCUCUUAGGGCCCGGUGCACACGUGCGGUUUACGCCGAACGCACGCGCGCGCGUUAUUCUUUCGGUAACCGCGCGUCUAACGGGCGACGUUCUCCGUGAAAUAUCAUUUCAGUUGGCGUUCAGACACCGGCUGUGGAUGUUCAUUCCGAAAACAAACGCGCGACUACUUGCGCACUCUGUGUACGAGAGAAAAAACGAAAAUCUAACGACGCGUAACAGGCGUUUACUGGGUACACACGUUUGAAAAACGCCCGACAAAUGCGCAUCGCCAAGCGGGUGGUUUUCGUCCGCGGAUGUUCCGUUAGACGCCGUUUAUGACGUUUUACUCAGCCGAUAAACGGCGGCCGGGUGUCAAUCGUUUUCGAUUUCAGACGUUUCGCGGGCGAAAAGUCGGACGCGUGCACGAGCCGAUAAACGACUGUGCACCCGGUAUUUGCGGGUGCGGUGUCGUCGCUGUUCGCGGCGGACAGUUGACGGACGCGAGGCGGACGGCGCGUCGUGCGCUACGUUCGGCGCGUUUACCGACGUCGAAAGGCGCGCGCGCGCCGGGCCCCGGCAUUCCGGUUUAAACACAUCCGUGGCGAUUUCGGUAUUCUGUCAGUCGAAUUGUCGUUGCGGCGCUUUUCGCGCUGGGUUUCGUUGUUGAAACCCGACUACGUUUUGCUCGUGUAUCACAAUCGAUACACAGACUUUCCGGGAAAUCCCGCACGCGCCCGUUUCACGUGUUGUAAUCGGAAUCGUCGAACUGUCUUUGACCUCUGUAGCGCGUUGAAGUAACUGAUAUCAAUAUUAAACAUAUCGCGUUCCGCACUAUUGCAUACCGAGUUGAGUGAGCCCGGCGGUUCGUUUCACGGCGAAACGAAAACAUGAGCGUUUCGUCCGCGGUCGGCCGGCACCUUGAAAGUCCGUACCGUAAAACACCGGUUAAAGACCGCAACUUUUUAAAAUCCACAAGAAGGGUUCCCCUUAAUUUUUUUUUUUUUUUUUAAGAACCGAAACCGUUAGACCGUAAUGGUUCCAGUCCCUGGACUACGCAAGUUCUGUGUCGGAAAAAUUAUAUUUCAAUGUAGACGCAUUAUUUUACACAAUAAUACGAGAUGGUUCCGUUCAUGAUUGUUACCGUUAGAAGAUAAUAUUCAUGUUGCACGUAGCUGAUAGCAAACUCAAAUUUCCCGUGAAAAUCAAUAAAGCAUACGAUUACCUGAGUAAAGUAAUGUAGAGCGACGCAAUACCAUACGAUUAGGUUAGGUUAGGUUAGGAUCCGUCGAUCUAUAAUACACAUUCCCUUUUUUAAAUACUCACACACGUGGUUGCGAAACCUAGCACUUAGAGGGGAUAGAAAAUAAAAUAAAACAAAAUACGGGGGGGGUGUAAGCAUAAUGAAACGGACACACAAAUCUGGCUGGUUGAUUUCCAUAAGUAUAUCGGAAGGGUUUACUAUACGAACGAGAAAAUAUUUUAUACAAACACAUUCGUACGGAGAAACCUUAAAAACUAAUUAACUAACUAACGGGGUAUCGGUCAAUUAAUAAAUUGCAUGCAUAUUACUUACCAUCAUUUUCCCGAAGAUGACCGGAUCGGGACACACUUCGUUGAUUCGCUCGACGCACCACAUCAUGCAAUCGUGCCAAGGUACACGACCUUUUCUUGGCGGCAAAAAUUGGUGAAUCCGUGUAACGCGCGGGAGUAUUUUAUUACGAGAACUGUGUCUAAAAACCGUCCGGUGACGGAAAUCCCGAGACGAGGUGUACACACGAAGAAGGAAACGGACGAACAAACGAACGAAAUCUGGGUAGCGGAGCGCGGUGACGUUCGUGGCGCACACGUCGCCGCGGGCCGACGUUCUCGGCGAUAAGGGGAAACGUGAUUUGAUUGGCCGUCGACCCGUAGUCGAAAAUAUAACACUAUUGCGAACUGCAACAGAUCGCGAUCGCAUAGACCUUUGCGCGGGGAGGGAAGGGGGGAAUUAUUGUUCACGAUGACGUAACAUGUCCGCCGACGCGGGCGUAAUCCAUUAACCGGUCGACCAUAUCGACGGUAUGUGUGCUUGUCCAUUAAAAACGGGAAACGGUCGUUUUUGGACGUUACACCGCCCGUGGUACGUGCAAAUGCCGUACAGGUUUUGGAGAGAUGUAGGAGAGAGUGGCGAUUCGGCCGAAAAGAUGUACGCGUCUCGCGUCUUGUGUGAUCGCCGCGCGGGGUGCCGACGCGCGCGAUUCGUCGUGAAAUAAUUUAUGGCGCACUUGUGUGGCGACACUGGUAUUUGCGGUGACGGCAAUGUCCGUUCCUGACCACGUCACAUCGCUCGUUUAUUUCGCAGAUAAUUCGGUGUUAAACGCACUACACGAGUAUCGUGUGGAAAAUAUCCAAACACGUCCCGUAGGCGUGUUAAACGCGUUAAAUAUUGAUAUUUUGUUCCGCGGUUCCCGGUUAACGCGCGGGUGUUAUUUCGGUUUCGGUUUCGUUUAUUUUUAGUCGCCUCCGCGGAAACGCCGAGUGCGCGGUGCAGUUGUUCCGUACGCACGGACGAAAAACGCGCAAACGCCCGAAACGAUUUUUACACGCGGCGUAAACCGCGCGACCGCCGCGGCUGUACACGACGAAACAAUUAUAAUAACAACAAAUAAUAUUCAAGGUGCGCACGGAACGGAACGCAUAGCGGCGCGGCCGUAAAUCAAUUUCGCGGUGUCGUUUGUAGCGCAAUAAUAAUAAUAAACCGACGCUAUAACACUGGUCUCGCACAAGUAACACGGCCGAAAACGACCGCGAACUAUACGCCGUAAUAAUGUCCGUAACCCAAAUGUUUCGCUCGCGACGGGGUGGGUGGGCGCGUAAGUUGCCGGUGAGUACACCGGUGAAGCGAGAAGAAGAAGAAAAAAAUUAAUUAAUUUCGCCGCGUACAACAACGCCGUGGUCCGACCGCGGACUUCUUGUACACGCGCGCGCAAACGACUUUUUUCGGCGGCGGCGGCGGCAGAGAAACCUAAACCGAUUCUGCGCGGGGGAAAUCGCUCGGUUUUUGUCGCACAGCGACCGGAUAGACGCGAUGACAACAACAACAGAUUAUUAUUAUCAUCGUUGGCGUUGUUGUUGUCGCGUUAUUGCAGUCGCCCGCGACACAGCGUGACGGGCUCGUGCGCGCGCCGCCGCGUCUAUUAAAACCGCUUUUGCGGCGCGCCCGCGGUAAAUCACACGGGGAGCGAAAUAAAUCGUUCCGGACCGCGUUGAUUGCGAUUUUAUGGUCAAGUUUUAAACCUCGGAUUACCUCUUAUAUCGGCGCAGGUACCCGCCGCGGCGGCCGCGUACGCAGAACGAGUAACGACCGUAGACCGUUACCGCCGUCGCUCCCAGACGCUCCGUAAUGAUACCAUACCUAUCCCACGUACCCGCGCCCGCCACGGCCGCCGUCUCCGCAACGUCAUACGGCCGGGUCUUAAAUUUCACCUGCGCUAAUCUCCGGCCCGCGACGCCACUACAUUACGACCGUGGUAAUGCGCGCAUUAUGCUCGAGUACCUGUGCACCGCGUUCAAUCGUAAUCUACCGCGUUCUAUAAUACAAUGCCGCGUGAUAUUUCGGAUCCGUAAGAACCCGACGUGACGGUAGCGGAUGGGAGGGGGGGGAGGCGGUGUGUGUGUGCGUGUGGAUGAGAAAACGUUUCCGGAAAGACAACAGCCACGGGUCAAGUAGAUGCACCAUACGCAGGCGUUACGGGCGAAUAUGUGUACGGUAUUUUUCGAAAAUCUCGCGGGGAUCGAUGGAGGUUUUCCGAAUUUCCAUUACGCUUUUAAUGACGACCUUGUUGUGAAACGUGGUCGACAACUAAUGGGUGCGAGACGGGGUCGCGACCCUUUGAAAUGCGGGUUCUUGGGAGAAUAUUAUUCAAAUGUCGGACCCAUAUUAUAUUUUUAUACGGAAACGGGGAACGGACGAUGCGGAUAUUGAACGAAUCUUCGACGGACCGAAAAUAUCCAAAAAUGUCUUGUCUCGGGAAUACCGGAAUACACGUUGUGAUAAGUAUAGUCUAAUGGAACGGGUAAUCCAAUUAAAACGUGCCGUUCCCGGAGAAAAUCCGCGAGAACGAUGGCCGUAUCGAGUAAAGAGUGAUUUUUAAACAGGUGAACGUAGCAACAAGAAUGCUGAAAGAUGCAGAAAACGGACGCUACUGGAGGAACUCUGUAGAAACGGUAAUUAAUGGCCUGUGAUCUUUGUAAGCUAGAAAAAAAUAAUGACGACCUUAAUAUUAUGACUUUUCCACCGUUCCGCUUGUCCGAUGCCCAUCACGGGAAAGAGGUAUAACCGAUAAGAUUCCUCGUUCCGGACCGAACGCGGCGGCGGUUUCCGUGUACUUUACGGGCGUACGUACGCACGUAAUGUCGUGUAUAUAUAUAUAUAUAUGUGAAAAAAAAAAACAAACACGGUACAAUGACGGUGGCAAUAUUAUAAUAAACCGUCAUUUUUUCCCUCGUUAAUAUCAUAAUAUUAUUAUUAUACGCGUACUAUACGAGCGGGGAGGAGGGGUGGGCAGAGGGGAAGGACCCGGCGGAUUAAAUUUAAUGGGCACGUCAUUUACGGCCUCGGAGGACAUAUUAUAUUAUUCGCGGAUAAUUUGCCCGGGCGUGCGGCGGCCGUGCGCGGGGUAGGCGCGGUGACAUCGAGUCGCACUUUGUCCCGUCGAGCGUGACCUUUUGCCCGUUUUUCCGCGCGUCCCGCCUGCCGACUGCGGAACCGGCGGCCGCGGCCGUAUUCCCGCGACGGUCGUUUUUCGGUCCGGCACCGCGGUUCGAUCACCGCCCGGGAGAAGGGAUUACGAACGCGCGGCGGAAUCGGCCGCGAACGUCGCACGGUUCCGUGUACACCACCGUCGUCACUACCGCGCGAUCGACGCGCAACAGACGCGCGUCCGACCCGACGUGCCGGUUUGAGAUAAAAAUACAGUGCACGGUGAACAAUGGCGAAUGUUCACGGGAGGGGGUGGAUGUGGGCGAUGGGACCUUCCCCACCGCCGCCCACCUUUUUCUUUUUUUCCAGACGAUGAGUUUUCACGUUUAACUGAUAUUUAUCGUGAGAUCUUCUUCUCCUUCGGAUUUCGGCCUUUUAAGACCAUUCUGUAAGACAAAUUCACCUCCAGUCCUCUCUAUCUUCCGCUAAUCCUUUCCAAUUCACCUCUGAGUCCUCUGUCACUACAUAAUUUUUCACUGAAAUUCUAUCAAAUUAAAGAAAAUGAUUAAAGCGGUAUAUAAUAAAAAAUAAAAUGUCUUACUUUCAUACGAGCAUCGCACGGCGAGCUCAUGAAAACAAUGCAAUGUGCAUUGGAAUCUCAACCUUAUCGAUGAUUGACGACAGACACCACAAUAUGUAUUCAAAAAUCAUAAUAUAAAGGGCGUCCGUGAAUUGGGCCACAUUAAACCUUUUUUUCAAAAAGGUAUACGGUAAUCGGGCCAUUAAAAUUUUACAUUUAUAACAAGUAGACCCGGUAAUUGAGCCACUUAAUUUAUUAUAUUUUAGAUUUGACAAAAGGCAAACACCACUGUUUUAAAGCAUAUCAUUAUUUUUUCCACGAUUAAAAAUUUUAAUUUCCUAUGUUCGUUAUAAGCGAUUUAUUUUGACGCAUUUUUGAAUACUGUGCAUAGCAAUCUGUACCACAAAUAAAUAAUAUAAAAUAAUGCCGGUUUCAAAACGCAUUAAAACCUAUUAAGAGAUUACGAAUUUAAAAAUUAUGGCUUGAUACGAGUUUUCUGACAUGACAGCUACUGCACCUGUGUUGUAGCACGACAGUAGAAACAAAAAAAUUCUGUAGUAACUCGGAUGAGAGGGUAGGUACUGACUGAAUCGCAAAAGACAAUAAUUCAUAUGAUGCGGUCCCGCGGUGUGAGUAGCUGCACUGUAGAAAUUGAUUAGGCCAGUUCGGACGCUAACUCGCACUGUGUAACCGGGCCUUUACAUAUGGUAUUUCUUUUUUUACUAGUUUGCUGUUAUUUUUUUUUAAACGCUAUUCUAUUGGACGAAAAAAUGAUGUUGUCCGUAAAUAUUAAUAAUACCUGUACUUACUUGACAAAAGCUAGGCUUAAUAAAAAGCAUCAGUCUUGUAAGUCUAUUUUAAAACCAUAAAAAAUACAUAUAGAAUUAUAUUUUAUUCGCUAAAAUGUCACGGUGUCCAAAAUUACUCAAAAACAAUUUAACGAUACCGCAAACACGUCAAUUGUGGAUCAAAUAUAUCAGCAGGACAUAAUAUGACCAAGUACAACAAAUACCAAAAUGCUAAUCAAGUUUUUUCAUGUUCCAUCUUAAAUCUUAAAACAAGCAGAGUUAAUUAAAUACGCCCAAUAAAUACUUUGGCCGUUAUCGACGUUAUCAAUUGAAAGAACCUUUACUUUAAGUUUAAAUUGUACGGUGUUGCAUUUAUUCACGGGUACAAACCCACAACGAUCUACACGUAAAAUUGAAGUAAAAAUAAAUUUAUCCUGCAGUUGUUUACACAAAUAAUUUUUAAAUUUUAUAUGAAUCGACGAAUGUUUCAAACUGCAAGGUAGAUUACUUUAAAAAAAAUUAAACUGUUUUCGUUAAAAACUUUCGCCCUGACGAGAAAAUUUCAAAGUUUACGAUUAGGUAUCUAAAAAAUUCACAGUUAUUUCUCUUCAAUAACACAAAAUUUGUUGUCUAUUGCCGUUACAUUAAUUAAUAAUAAGAUUUCGGUAGUUAAAUAUUUAACAUAUUUUGUAGUUUCCCACGCUGAAAUAUACAGACAUUAACACGAGAAUCAGAAAUAAAUUAUUUCCUGUUUAAUAUUUUUAAGUUAUUCUUUUUCUUUUGGCAAUUACUGGAACUGUAAGCUAUGAUUAUUAUAUUUUACAUUUUUUCAAGGCUAAAAUUAAAAAAAUGUUUUUCAAAAUCUAAUAUAGCCAUUUUAUACAAAUAUUUUGAAACAAAACUUUGCUGUUAAAAAUACCUAAUAAUGAUGAAACGUUAAUUUUCUAAAACUUUUUGUAGUUUAAAAGACUAUUAAAAUUGUUUUCAUCGGCACUACUAAUUAAUACCAAUCGAUUCACCAAGUUAUCCAUGAAUAAUAAUUUCGUUAAUGAUUUUUGUAAACCUCAAAAAAUUGUAGAAACUUAACAACUCAUCAUUACUAAUGAUGAACACCGAAAUUUAAUUUUAAAACAUAUUUAUAUAACUGAUUUCUUGGAUAUUUUAAAAAAAAUAUUAGAUUUUGAGUAGAACGGGGAAUGUAUUGAUUUUACAACGAUGGUUAUUUAUUAUUUUCUUCUGUGGACAACUUCUACCAGCAAUUUUACUUCGAUUUAUAAUGAUAGCACUUUUCUAAAAUGAAAUCUGACUGGAGAGGUACUUUAAGGAGGUAAUUUUUUGUUUUUGCCAGGAGUUUUCCUAAUAAAUGGAAAAAAUUUGGAAAAUAGGUGUUGUACAAUAUUAAACAAAUAUUAUUAAAGAAACCGUUUAAUGCAUAUGUAAUUGUUUUAUCGUAAUAUUACAUGUAUGAAUAUCGUUCGCAAAGCAACUAUCAACUGAACUUCGCUCGUUUUUUCGUUAGCAGCGAUUCAUCGUUGUUGCUUACGGAUAUACAUCUACUAUACCUUCCAAAUGUAUCACCUAUAACAGUGGCUAUAACCCGUCCCCGUAAUCCUAGGACACCUUAUUUAUUUUUAUUCUUUGUAAAAAUAUAAAUCAAAGGAACCAUAGGGCAAGUCUCUAGAAAUGAUUACAAGAAAAAAACUUAAAAACACCUAACAGAACAAAAAUUGUUUCAGAGCGUUACGCCCUGUAUAUUAUAUAAACACCCACUUUGCACUUUGGCUGCAAUAUUAUACGCUGUAUCGUCGAUUUAUGGCACACAUGCUAGUCCCCGAGAUGCACUUGCACUCGGUGUAGGCGCACCAGAACCGCAACAAUAGAUAUUAACUAUAUGAUAUAGUUUGAGUAGUGUUUUUACUCGAAUAUAUUAUCGUGCCUCUGUAAGCGGAAUACGCGUUACGGGCGUUAAAUUUCACUAUAGGCGACUUGAGUGUCCAAUAAAAAAAAUGAUGACACAAUAACGAUAAUUAUUGAUUUUUAUUAAUUAUUCAUCACGGUUGAAUAAUAAUUAAUAAAUAGUUAGGUACAUCACAGGAAAGCGAUUGUUUUUGUUUGUGUUUACUGAAGUGUUUGAAUGAACGUUUAUAUUGUUAUUGAAACGAUAAUGAAUCAAAGUUAACAAAAAAAAAAAACCAAAACAAAACAAAAUUGCUAAUCAUUUAUGAUGUAUACUGGGGUAAUUUCAUGCCGAUACAUAAUAAUAUUAUACAGUAGAAUGAAUUUUAAAUAUUUCAUAAUAUAGAAAUCGAUAAAGUAAUUAUUCAAGUACAGGUGGGUAGCUAUCAUAAAAUUGUUAUUGAAAUCACGAAAUAUUUUAAACUUUACUACUAAACAAUGAUUAUUAAUAUUAUCCAGUCGUAAUACUAUUAUACCCUACCCGGUAAUUAAAUUAUUUGUUCGUUUUUUUUUUUUUAAAGAAAAUAUUUUAACGUAAUAGUGAAAUUGAGUACGUAGUUUCAUAAUCAAAUAAGUUUUCUUGUUAAUUCAAAUGUAUAUUACUAUUACAAUUCGGAUUGUAUAGACUACGCACUACACUGUACUAGUAUUAUACGAGUUAUCGUUCGCGAUCGAAUAUCCGAGUAGUUAGGUAUUUUACAAAAACGCACAUUAAACGACAUGCGGUAUGAAAUAUUGUUUGUUUUCAAUAAUACAGCAGAAAACACAACAUCGUCUACGCGUACACAAAUCCUGCGUAAACGACUGCCGACGACAACGAACUAACGGAAACCACGCAUGCGAUAAUAUUAAAAUGGCUCCGAUUCACGAACGGUUUAUCGUAACAAUAUUUAUUUUAGCAAGUAUCCAAUGCACCCGUGUUUAGUAACAUUCUCAGAAUUUACCAAUCAAUCAUACUUAUACGUACUGUAGCCUAAACGUCUAUAGGUAACGUAGGUAAUAAAGUAAUAGCCAAUCCUAAGUUUGAUUGAUUUUGAUUAUUUUGUUUUAUAUUGGAAUAAACUGUUGAGUAUCAAUACGAUACCCGAGGAAAACAUUGGAGAGACCAGCAUUAUCUGUAAUGACAUCACGUUGAACGGCAUUAUUCGGAAAGGGAAAGUAUGGGCAAAUUUUAAUUUUAAAUUCCGAGUGGAGCGAAAAAGUUUAUAGUUUUACAAAGGUGUUUAAUUUUUUUUUAUCUGUGGGCAAUUUUUCCACCGGCACAUUUUGCUCAAAAUUUUAAUAAUAGCGAUUUUUAAAAUAUAUUAUGGCCUUUUUUUUCUGUGCACAAUUUUUCUACCAGCACUUUUGCUCCAACUUUUAAUGAUAGCAAUGUUUCUGAAAGAAAAUUUCACUAGAAAGGUACUUUAAAGAGGUGAUUUUUUGAUUUUCCCAAGAGUGUGAAUAACUGGGAUAAAACGUAAGAAAACUGGGAAAAACGUAGGAAAACUAAGAAAAUCGGUACAACAUUAAACAAAUAUUAUUAAAGAAAAUAUACAAAACCUAUUUAAUUAUUUUACUAUAAAAUUACAUAUAUAUUGUUGAUAAAGCAUCAUUAUCAACUGAACUGCGCUCAGAAUCGUUAUUUCGUAAGCAAUGGUUUAUUGUUGCUUGCAGGUAUACAUUAAAUUAUCUAUAAAAUUGGCUGCAUCCGUCCUCAUUAUCCUAAUAAGUCUUUUUCAAACUAACUAUGCAAAAUCAAAAGUGCCAAAACAUUUUGCUCUUGAAGUUUUUUGUCGUUACAGAUUUUGCCUGUUGAGUUUUAAAAAUUAAAAUUGUCCAGAUUUUGCUUCGGUACAUUUUUCGGUAGUAGCAUAAAAAGGAGAGUUCUAAAUCAGGAGCAGGAGCAAGGACGAAGUGCUAUACCCAGUACACGGCCGCCCGAAUUGCGCACCACUUCACAGACCAUUUAGGUCACGCCCGAUUACACCUACUGUCAUCACGAAAUAUACCUAAUACACAUAUCGGUAUACCUACUGUUAUCGCAAGAUGAUGUUUCAAAUACAUAGCAAGUGUUUCGUAUACGAAAUAUAACUUCCCCGUCCGUGACACCACCAUCUGUUAUUAUAUUUCGACAAAAUAAUAUUGCUCGUACGCGAUUUGUUACCCGUACGGAAUAUAACGGUCGCCGCAACCCCCGUCGCCUCCUAGCUCCUGUAUAAUGCGAAAUUAUAAUCGUACACCUACACGAAAUAUAAUCGUUGGCGACAACGGACCCCCACACAUAGUGCGUGUCGUUCCGAGAAUCUAUUGCGAAAAUAAGUAUAUUUAUACGUGCACACAUUGUCAGCAGCGUACGCACAGUGUGUUUCUUGCGUGUAACGCAUUGUUCUCGGUUUUCCUGUCGGAUCAUGCAGAAAUUCUUUCACGAAUCUACAGUGCGCAUCGUGUUUCACACCCGUGGGUCCUGUACGAUCCUGUAAGUUUCUGUACGGUCCUGUAAGAUCCUGUACGAUUCUGUAUGAGUUGGUCUCUUAGCCCCCGCCCACACCUGUAAGGUCCUGUACGAUCCUGUAAGAUCCUGUACGAUUCUGUAUGAGUUGGUCUCUUAGCCCCCGCCCGUAUUCGCUUGUUUAUUAUCUCGUUAACGUACUUUUAGGUGGACGACUAAAUCAUUAUCCGCGCCGCAGCCGUAGAAGCGAGCCGUCGUUGUCCGGUGAUCACAGCAUUUGAAUUUUUUUUUUUUUACAAAGUGUUUAUCAAUUUUCUACGAGUGUUUAAAUAUGCCGUUUAAAAAGUACGAAUACGUCGCACCGGCACCACCAAGCGAGUCUUAUCGACUGCAAUAACCAUAUUCUUAGUUUCGCAGAACGUGAGUUUGCGAAUAUAGGUAUCGACCCGACAGAUACGUUCUCCGUUAAGGUACAAAUAAUAACUCCGUCACGUCCCGUCAACCAAACACCAGAUGUUCUGUUACAAAUAUUUUUGCUGAUGGACGAAAUCCUAUCAAACAUACUCGACACGCCCAAAUACAAGUUACAUAUAUUUCCGGAAACCGCGAUAUUCAAGUUGUCGCGUUGUGUGUACAAAAAUGAAAACGUACUCGUAAUAGAAUCAAAGACCGCUACCGGCUGCCGUAUCAUAUUAAAUAGACAGGAUUUAUUCGCGCUCCGAAAUUUGGAAUGGUGCAUUUUCGAGACGGUCGCACGGAAAACCUCCAUAAGUCAACCAUCAGUUUUAAAACAAUUUUAACAAACUGCACCGUAUACCAUAACAUAAACUAGUGCAUUCAAAUAUAAGUCGCGUAGUUAAUGCAAUUUCCAUAAUUUAAAAGAAUUCCUGUCGAGUAAUGUACACUUUAUAUGGUGUUGUCGAAUGUGUGCGAAUUUACGAUAGACACUAAAAUUGUUUCCAAAUGUCACCAAUGACCACACAUGUCUACCCGUCAAAUAGGGAGACCACAAGUGAAUUUUUAACCAGCUCCUUUUGAAUAAUUUAGAAGUUCUACUGGCUGAUAUAAAAUACGAAAUUGACGUGCCAGUCAAAUAAUUAUCACUGACAAUGCAAACAAAUUAAGGAAAUUACCGGAGACGAGCAUUCGGUCACCAGUCGUAUGAAUAAUUUAUGCGAUAAACAUUAUCAUUACUACUGGCUAAAGGCGAACACGCCAAGUGCAAAGGCAGAGGAAGUAGUGGAAAAAACAAAUACAAAUGGCCGAACAAAGACAUCGUACGCCAUUAUAAACAUAUGCGUUUUUUUUUUUUUUUAUUCUUUUUUUUUUAAGUGGACUGUUCAGAAAGAACCAUAAUAAUAUUAUCGAAGACAACAUUUGUUCAGAAUAAAUGGAUUUUUAACACACAAAUCGAUAUGUGUAUAACGGAUAUUAUAUCGAUAUGUUACUUUUGAAAGGGUUAACGUGUUUCGGAAGAAUAAUAUGAAAGUGGUGGUAAGUAAGUACUUAUGUAAGGGAAGUUGAUUAUCCAGAGCCGAACCGGAAAUUGAAGUAUUUGCCUGCCCAUGGCUCUACGAGUUCCAUAUUUCUAUUCGUAGUUAGCGUUGGUGUAUAAAAUUAAACAUACUGUGUAUCAGUGUAGUUUAAUAUUUUAUAACAUUUAUAAAAUUCAAUAUUAUUCAAAUUACAAAUAAUAAAAAUGUGGUUUCUUUAUAUAAAAAAAAAAUACAUACCAAGGUGUAUAACAUAGUAGUUUUACAUAAUUUAAACUCCAAUUUAUAAACUAAUUAAAUUUUAAUAAAUCGUUUACUCGUAUUUAUGGAAGUACGAUUUUGCUUCCUAAUAAAUAAUAGUAGUCUUUACUCUGUGAAUUACACUUAUUCAAUUUUGCAUAACAAUAGUAGUUAUUGAAUAUUUCCAAGAGUAAUAAUGGUAUACUUCUGAUAAAAAAAAAAAAAUUCUCUAUAUGUUUUCACAAAAAAAUAACGAGAUUUCCUUGGAAUAUUGUACACGACUGGUAUGUAUGUGUCUAAACAUACAAAUAAUAUUCUAUUAUUAAAAAUAGUACGAACUGCUGUUCGUAUAAAAUAAAUAAUUUUUCAAAUUGUAUAGAAAUAUAAUUUAUACUCACUAAAAUAACUGCUAAAGUAAGUACCGUUCACUAUUCAAUAAAUAAAAAAAUUAUAUUAAUCAUAACUAUUUGAAAAUAUUUAAUAAAUUAGCUGUAGCAAUUUUUAAGAACAGAAAAUGGUUUAUUUAAAAUCAUUUUUAUUUUCAAAUAAGUUAGAAACAAAAGACAGUGACGAAAUUCUGCAAUAGUGAUAUUUUUUUUAUGGAUGCGAUGAUCAAAAUCAUAUUUGAGAUAGGAUAUUUUAUUUUUAAAAGAAAGGAAACUUGUCAAAAAAAAAAUUUAAAAAAAGAGGUGAUAUUGAGAACGGUUGAGACUCUAUUGUGAAUAGGAAUUUGAGAAAGAUAGGAUACAUACAGUUAUUUAAUUUGUAUCAGUAAAACGAUUCAGAGCGAAGUUCGAUUAUACAUGUUUUGAAAGGCUGAAAUAUCUUAGAUUUUAUUACUUAAUAAUACAUAAGAAUAAUAUAGUAAAAUAUAAAAACGUUUAUUAAAAAAAAAAAAAUUAGAUUACAUUCAAUUUAUUUUUUCGGCCAAUAAGUAUAACUUAUAAUGAACUUCCUCUUAAAUUUUCAAGCAUUUUAAGUAAACCAAUUUGUACAGUAAACAGGUAAACAGGUACACACUGGUAUCCUACCAGUAGGUAGGACAAGUUUGACUGUCAGACCGUACUUAACGAUAUUAUAAAUCUUUGCAUGUAUUUUAUGCGAAAAAUCAUUUAUUAGUUAAUGAUAUUAAUUCAAAAUAUAAUAUCACGAAUAUUACAAUUUUAAAACCAACAAAUAGUUAAAAAUAAAUAAAAAAUACGCAAUCGCUUGGUAUUUUUAGAGGUUUUUAAAAUUAUUUUCUAAUGAAAUAUUAAUCUGAAAAAGCAUUGUUAUAUUACUCGUAUAUUUUUUAACCAAUGAAAACCUUUUCAUAAGAUUAUAAAGUAUUUUCCAAUUAACAGGCAUUGUUCGGAAGAAGCUUCCAAAGUUUUUACAAAUACUAAAAAUAAUAAGUUAACUUUAGCCUUUGAGAGAUUUUACAUAAUCGUCCAGAGAAUUAUUUGCUUCCUCUUUUUGAUUAAAUCAAGUGUAGAGAAAUUCUUAACAACUUUGUUCAUAACUACACGGAAUGAAAAAAAAAUAGUCUGUUAAAAUAAUAAGGAAAAAACUCAUUUAUCACACAAAGGACAAAAACAAAAGAAAUGCCCUAUAAGUUCGCCUUUGAUUACUAGAAUACUUUUAAAAAUCAAAACUUGUCUCAUCCCUACCCAUAUUGUGGUCGAGUGGGCUAUUGUCUUUUACAUUUCUUAUAUAAACCUGACUUAAAAUCUAGAACCGAGGAAAAUAUUUGAUGAUAGCAAACUUUUUAUUUUAAAAAUGCAUUAUUAGUGAGUAUUUCAUUUAUCUGCAAUUAAAUUUGUUCGCUAAAUUAUACUAAUUAUUUAUGCAGAAUUUUUAAAUCGCGAAAUAUAUAGUUAAAAUUCGCAUUUAUAAAAAUAUAAAAUUGUUGUUAUUAAAUUAUGAUUUAAAUUAUUUUAAUACUAUAGUCUCUUUUUAAGAUCAUAAUAAUAAAACAUGACUCGUAAUAUGGGUAGGUGGAACACUAAAUAUAAUUUUAGUUUAUUUGCUUAGGUACCUAUUUAGUUUCGUUUAACUUGUUGACACUUUAUCGAAUUUAACUUUGUAAAACUUUAUUGUUUACCGAUAUAUUUUAUAUUGUAUAUUUUAUAUUGUAUAUUUUAUAUUAUAAAAGAUUACAUUUUAACGUCCAACAGUUUCAACAACAAAGUUUUUUCAAUUCACUAGGUAUUUAUAUCGCUGUGAUGUGUUUAGGUAACGGAUCCGUCAAACUUUAUCGUUUGAAAAUCAUAUCAUAUAACCGUUAAAUUUAGAUAAUAUGUCAAUACAUGGAUUUUGAAAUGAAUACACAAUCAUUUUGGUAUAAUAUUUAAAAUCAUCCGGUUAGAGUGAGAAUAAUGAUAAUUUACCCACUACAGUUUUGCUGAAAAUUAUAAUAAUCUACAAACAAAAACAAAAAAAUAGAUGCAAACCAUCAGGUCAACAUUCAAACCCUAUAAUUCCUAGUCACUCUGAAAUUACUUUUCAAAUGUGCAAUUUAGGUUCUUUUUCAUUUUUGCAGAACUACAGAAUUACUAAAACCGACUCGGCUGCCUUUAAAAAUAAAUUCUUAUUGCGUAGUAUGCAUUCCAAAUAAUAUGAGGAUACGGAAUACGUAGAUACGAUUAUUUUUUCCAAAACGAAUUCCUUGAUUAAUUCUUAUCAAACUAGCGGACAAUAUCGUGCAAGGAUGAAACGAACGUUUUAUUUUAUAUUUUCGUUGUGAAAUAAAAAGAUUAAGCUCCCCUCCUCCGAAAAAAAAAAAGAAAGGAAAAGAUAAUAGUGUUGUAAAUUAUUUUUGCCGUUGAGCGUUCGUCGCCCUGUUAAUACGAUAUUAUACUUGAGCACAUUAUUGGCGUGUUUGCCAUACCUUUUAUCGGAGUACUACUUAUUCGGGUCUCCGUUAAAUUGCACUCAACCUUCGAAGUAACCACAGUAAUCCAUAUGUGCCAAAAAAGUUUUCAGUCACGUACGAGGAAUUUCGACAUCCGUUUCUAAAAGUGGUGGGUGCUUAAAACACAAAUAAAAAGCAUCGGCAUUAACUACGACAGGUGUACGUUUACCCAUAUCCGCUAAUGUAAUAAUGCAUACAAAUAAUAUAUAAUAAGUCUUACUUACCUAUACAUUCAACUAUCUCACAAUUAAAGCCUGGUCCACUAUAUAGUUUCUUACGUGAUAUUUGAGAAAUUCGCAAACGUAAUUGUUUCACUACCACGAACUACCGUCGUGUGAACAGAGCGACAGUAACUAUGAACUUUCGUGAAAGAACAAUCAAUUCCGCACAAAUAAGUUUAUAUUACGUUUCUUUUUUAAAUUUUAAAGGAAUUGUUUUUUUUUCUGUCUGAAAACAACUUAUCUACCAGAAAUCUUGUUCCAAAUAAAAUAAACUACAAGAGUGAUUUUUCUUUGUAAAAUUUUUGAACGAUUUUAUACAUUAGGGAAAUAAUUUCUUUGAUUUUCCUUGCAGUUUUCUAAAUUAUCUGGAAAAAACUUAUGGAAGCCGGAGUAAUGUUCCAUUUUUGUUAUAAUUCAGUUAAAAAUAUUCACGGAGACUUGACAAAUUAUACUAUUACGCAUUAGCUUUUUAUUGACUUGGUAAAUUAUUAAUAACAUAUACUGACAAAUUUUAUAUAAACUAAUUUUAUAUAAGGCAUUUGACAUUUGACAUUUUUAAAUUGUAUAGAUAAAAAUGUUAGAGCGGAGAGAAAUAUUUGACAAUUUAACACAAGAUUCAUCUCAUAGUUUGUACUCGGUGGUAAAAAAAAAUGUUUGUUAAUUUUUUCAAUUUUAAACUUUAACAAAAAUCGCAAAAAUCGCGGUAUUUCAAUACGUAUUUAACCGAACUUCGCUCAGAAUCGUAUUUCGUUGCACAAUCAUUUUUCGUUGAGAACAGAUAUAUAAAUAAAAGAACUCUCUCUGUAUUCUACUGUUUUUUUUUUUAUUUAUUUAUUUCAUAGAAAUAUUUAAAUUAGUUAUUGAAUGAUUAAAUACCACAGCGAAAGAUAAACAGAUAUAUUAUAAUAUAUAAUAUAUGAAUAUUCAUACGGUUAUUCUAUAUUUGAAUUUUGUGACAAAAACCCUUGUCCAAAUGUAAAUACAGCUCGCGGAGGAAAAUAUUGACAGACCAAAAUUAACCGUCAAACGGACGGACGUUUAUUUUCUAGGAAAGGUUUGAAUGAUAGCGCCCGGCUGCAGCGAGGGUUAGUUUAAAAUAAUAUAAUAUAUGACCAAUGGUCAAAAACUAUAUUUAAAAAAUGUCCACCGAACGUUGAUUGAUACGAUAAUAUUAACUGAUACGAUGAUAUAUUAUGGCAAAAACAUAAUAAUAUUAUAAACCGUACGCAUUACCCAUCCGUUUUAGAAUAAUCAUAAUAUUUAAUUAUUAUUGAUUCAUUCGAAUUUAGACGUAAAUUCGAUCAAAUAUUAUUUCGAUAACAGUGCGUAGCCAUGAACUCCAAAUAAUCCGUCCAAGAGGCAAAUGUUUUGGAUUCUGAGCGGAACGAGGACUGUAUUAGUUUUACAAUGAUGUUUUUUUUUCUGCGAACAACUUCCUUAUCAGAAAUGUCGCCCUGAUUUUUAAACGUAGCACUUUUUCUGAUAUUAAAUCUGACUGACAUAUGAGACUUUAAGCAGGUGUUUUUAUUGAUUUUACCAGGAGGUUUCUCAAUAAAUGGGAAAAAUCGUGAAUGACUUAGGAAAUACGGGAAAAUUUACGAUAAUACGUAUUAUUUUGAAAUCGUAAAUAUUUUGAAACAUGUAUAGCCGAACUCCGCUAAGAAUAUCGUUAGCAGUUAACAGUAAUUAAUCUUUGAGUUCAGAUACACAUUAAAUUACUCUCUAUCUUUCCAACUUCUCAUCUAUAACAGUGGCCCACCCAUCUUUCCAUAUUUCCAUCUUCCAAAGUACGAGGUCCGUUUGUCUCUUUUUUUUUUCAAUUUCAGAACGGUACAUUUUUUCGUAUAGGUAUUAAGCGAUUCUUUUCAGUCUUUCGGUUUCCUUAGUAUUUCGGUAUUCAGUAAAGUAUAUACAAUUUGUGUUUAACGGAAACGAUUUUAGGCUGUUAGUUUUAAUAAUAGUACACGGCGAAUCGUCCAAAUCACCAGCGAAUUUGUUGGUACGAACAUUAUCCGUGUGUUUGUAUAUCGAAUUUUUGUUCGCCAUAUUUCGAUUUGCUAAGCGAGUUAUUACGAGAAGGUAUACCAAAUAUCGCAAUUUAUUAAUGCACAGCUGUCUAUAAUUCGCCGAGGAAAAUUGAAAUAUCGAGAAAAAAUGAAAUGUAUACAAAAACAAAAUCUGAUAAUGUUCUUGCCUUUUGAUUAGUUCGAUAAAAAUAAUGACUAUUUAUACUAAUAUUAAAACUGACAGCAUGUUGCAACUGUCCCUGUUAAAAGUCUGCUGUAUCGUGCGUUUGUGUAAGACGAGGACUACGCACGCGGGGAUAUCAAAUUCGCUUUUUAAUUUCACAGCGUGUCAUUUAUCUGUAAUUACUAAUUACAUUACAUUUUCUACUCGUAUGUUCUACAAAAGUUUCGGGUAUAUAUGCAGAUUUUAUUCCAAUAGUCGAUACACAUGAUUUAACCAGGGCCGUAUUUAUGAUAUUUUGGCCCCUGGGCUAGCCUAUGGUGCGGUCGCUGCCAUGGGUAUAGGAAUAUAUUUAAUAUAUUGAUGACUGUUUGCCUGUUUUUUUUUUGCACCCCUCUUUCCAUCCAGGUGUAGCUCUAUAAUUAAAUUGUUUGAAUUAAAAAUAAUAAAUUAUUAAUAAAAGUAUUAAUGAUUCAUCAAAAUCAAUUCAUCAAUCAAAAAGGUAAGUAGUAAAAAAAUAUACAAAAAUCAGUAUUUUAUAAAUGUAUAUAUUAUAUAUAAUUUAAGUAACAACAAAUUAACUUUUGGAGUAAAUGUCCUAGUGGCCAAUUCGUUUCCGUCUAGAUUUGAUUGUAGUGAAGUUUUUUAUCAUGUUAUCACAUUUAAGGUGCCUUCAAAUAUUGUUUUCUAUACUCAUCAAAACUAAAAUAUUUAGCCUUUCAUCCGCCAUGAAAAUCAGAAGCCGAUUUUUAUCAAAAGUGUUUUUAAUUUUUGUAUAAAUUGAAAAAAAUUGUAAAAACUAUAAGCAUUUUUAUUAUUUCCUUUUAAUUUUUUUUAAAUCAAUGGUUUUUAAAUUUAAAGAAAACAAUUUAAAAAUUGUAGGUAACAUUUUUUCAAACCAAAUAGCUGAAAAUCAUUUUUAUAGAUAAAAAUGUUUUUCAUAUAAAUUUUUCUAAUUUCUGGGAUCUAAAAAAAAUUGCGCAGGGGUCCCCUCGAAAAGUGUUUUUAAUUUUUGUAUAAAUUGAAUGCUUGCGACAUAAUUAAGAAAUUAUGAUUUAUUAUUCCUAAUAUACUUACCACAUAGCUGCCAUUCAUUUAUUGGGACUGACUUUUACAGACAAUAUAUUCAGUCAUACGACGUGACUUAGCCAAUACUUUUGCAUUCUUCUUUUCUUUUUCUCUUGCAAUAUUUCAUUUGAUACUCCCACUUUUAAAUACCUCUUUCGUUUCAUGGCGAUUGCUUUGUAUUUUAUGGCGAUACGUGUUUUAAGAAAUCUAACAAUAACGUCACACUUUAACAAAUAUUUUAUUAUUCAAAGUCGAUGGUUACUUAUCAGUUGUCAUACUAGCAUUAAUUUUGUACAUAGUAUGACUUAUAUUCCUCACAACAGAAAUCUAUUUAUAACUUUUGAAUUUUGUGUACCAAUAAAAAUAAUAGCUGAUAUCCAUACUCUUCGUACCAAUGCGAGCAUUUGUACGACGGUGACGGCACACGAGGUUAUAUGACUCUUAAAAUUCUAGAUGUACCCACGUCCUACAUGUUUAAAAUUAAUUCUUUGUUGUACUUGAAAAUCCCCGGGCCAUGGCACAAAUCACUGUUUACCUACACCUAUAAUAUAUGUAAUAAUGUAUAGUGUAUACACCAUGUCAAUGAUCCGUUCUGAAUUUAUUUUAUACAUGGUAGUGACAGGAAAAUAACGAAAGUAUGUAAAAAAAUACGGGCUCGAUCGAAUGUUAUUUUAAGACACGAAUUUACACACUACCCGUGUAAAUAAAUAAUAAAUACGCAUACUCGCAUAAUGAAAUUUGCAUACGCGCCGACGAAGACGACGUUUCAUAAAUAUUUACUAAACAAAAUUAAAUAUCGGACUAUGGUCUUUGUUUAUUGUUUAAUGUUUUUUUUUUUUUUUUAUUAUUAUUAUUAUUUUCCAUAUUGGUUAUAUGCAUUAACGUUUUUCGUUAUAAUCGGCAAUUGGUAUUAGAAUUAUGACAAAAAUAUAUUGAUUUGUAUUAUUAAUAUUAUUGUUAUUAUUAUUUUUUUUUUUAUUUUUGUCAUUGAUAUUAAAAAUAUUACUUACCUCCGUCACCCCAAUUAAAGCUCUUGAAUCUCCAUCGCGAACGCCCUACACACCCUGUUAACGUUUGUUGAUCAUAGUUAUUGUGUUGCGUUCAUAGACUUAUAAUAUAUAGACUGCGCAUUACGACCGUUUUGUGUAUAAAACCUUGAAGCCAAUAUAUGUGCGAGAGAAACAGACUCUGACGUAAAUUUUUUAAGUAAUUAAUAAAAAACUUACACAAAAAUCUUUGAGAUAAUAAAUAUUUAUAUUACAAAAUAAGGAUAACGAAAUUGGUAAUGUACAAAAUAAUUACAAUUUUAAAUUGUAUUAUAUCUUGAUGAUAGCGUUAUCAGUAAUCAAUUAAAUAUGAAAUUGCUUAUAACCUCCUUGAAAAAGUAACACCAGAGUCUUUCCGUUUCGCACAUAUGUUGGCUUCAAUAUAUUUCACUAUUGCACGGUCUAUAUAUUAUAAGUCUAUGGUUAAGUUGGAAAAAAAACCAUACUAUUGUACAGGUAUGGUGUAAAACGUUUAUAUGUGAUUUUACGACGGUCAAUUGUUCCAGAUUAUUUUAUAACGGUGGUCGUUUUGCUGUUGUAUUUAAUCGACAUUAAAUAAUAUACUAUACUUAUUAUUAAUCCGUUUGCACAAUAUUUUUUUACUCAACUACAAACGAAUAACUUAAAAAAAAAACGACACAAGAUUCAAAUAAUAUUUACAAUGAGCUGACAAAAGCUCUAAGAGUUCUCGCUCCCAAAACAACACCGCGCCAUCUAUCCCUGUCUUACACUAACUACAGAUUCCUUAAGGUGUUCUUUGAAAAUGUCGAGCCACCAUUCCCUGGGUCUACCAUUAGGUCUCAUCUCCCGACGCUUUCAUUCCUCUUCUCAUUAUAUGGCCUGGCAAAUAGCCAUUAGUUUAGUUUUUUUUUCUUUUAUAAAACCGGUCACGGUUGCCAAGACCACUAUGUCAUACAGCUCUCUACAACAUAAUAUUAUCUUCUUCGCCAAUUAUUUAUGGCAAUGGCGUAACUAGGACCUUUCUUUAGGGGGAAGGGGUAGAUUUUAAUAUUUAUUCGGUUUCGCGAGUACCCAACGUGAAAAAUUUGUUUACAUCGGUUCGACAAUCCUAAAACUUCUCAUUGUACUGAGUUUAUAAAUCUACUUUUCUUAUUUUAAAAUACCCACGCUGUUAUUUUGUUCGCAUUCUUCAUUAGGAGUUUUGCUUAAAGUAUUACUAUAAUUUAUAAUGCAAACACCGUAAAUCGUAUAUUUUUACUGUUUAUAAAACAGACAUAUUUCAAGUUAAAUUUUUUGUUCAAUUAACGUUUAUUACUUUAAUAUGAUCAGCCAUCGUAAGUAAUAAUAAUUAUUUAUUAUUUUUUUUUAUCAAUAUUAAAUAUUCAAAAGAACGCAAUGUAACAUUUUUCCCGCGUAUUGUGGUAUCUUGCUCGUAUCCGCGUUUCAAACGUAAGGCAUAAAUAAUUUGCGUUCGCCGGGACGAUUUUACGAUGUUGGUUUUAAUAGUAUUCACCGGCGAACUUGACGGUACGAACAUUGUCCGAGCGUUUUUACAUACAUUUUUUAUUCUCGGUAUUUUAAUUGCUAAGCGAGAUAUUACAAGUAGGUAUAGUUGUAUGAAAUAUCGCAACUUAAAAUUGCACACCAAUAAUCAGUGUUGAAUCCAGGUAUAUGACAGGGAGAGCGAUAGCUUCCUGGAAUUUUUUUGCCCCCAACUGUUAAAUUAAUAAUUAAUUAAAUAAUUAAACAAAUUUGAUUGGUUUUAGUAAGAGGAGUAAAUAAGCAUGAAAAAAAAGGUUAUUACUAGAAUUUUAGCAACGCCCCUCCCCCCCCAGAAAAAUUGUAUUGAACACUGCCAAUAAUUCUAAUAACAAUUAAUAAUAAUAACAAUAAUUCUAAUAAUCUAAAAAUGAUUUUACUUUUGAUUAGUUCUAAUUUAAAAACUGAUAGUAUACAAUAAUUACAAUUAUCUCUGCUAUAAACGUCCGUUAUACCGUGCGUUGUAUAAGAUGAGGACUAAACACGCCGGUAUCAAAUCCGCUCUUAUAACUUUCUUUUAUUUCACAGUAAGUUAUUUAGCUGUAAUUACAUUACAUUGUCUAUACUCGUAUAUUCUACAUACGUUUUGUGUAAUCUGCGGAUUUUAUUCCAGUAGUCCAUAUACUAUACAGUAUAUACAUGAUGUAACAGGACUAUUUAACAAGUGUAACAAUUUGUUCUUCUAUUUAAUAUUUUAAAGGUUUUUUUUUUUUGAAAUAAUUACUAAAGACCUGCACUAUAAUUGUUUUAAUUUAUAUUUUAUUUUACUGAUUUACAACCAAAAGUCAACAAUUUAGAUUAUUUUAUAAUCCAUGAUAGCUAUAUUAUAUUAUAUUAAUUUUUAUUCUCGUUGUGUUCGUCCAUAUUGCUAUUUGGUUCGGUGCUCAUUCGAAUAUGUACAUAACGAACGAUUUGAAAACAGUAAAAAGAACGUCAUUAUCAUUAUUGUCUCUAGAGGGAACAAAGAGGUUUAGAUAUUUGACUUAACCGGGAAAAAACAUAGGAAAACCGAGAGGGCGGGAAAAUAGGAACAAUAUUAAACAAGUACUUUUAAAGAAAAUAUGAAAUACUUAUUUAAUUAUUUUACCAUAAUAUGGCAUAUUAUACACUGUUGAAAAAUCAUCACUAUCAAUCAGCGCUUGAAAACGUUAUAAUAAUGUUAUGAUUGUAACAUUUAUAACGUUAUACGGUAUAAAAAACGAUUGAAAUUUGGAAACGUAAUAAAACGGAAAACGAAAAAAAUAAAAUAUCACAAAACAUACCACAUAACGAAAUCAAAAAUCAAAAUCAAAAAUAUCAAAACAGAACGCAAAACGCAAAACGAAAUAAUAUAUUUUAAUACCAUUUUAUAUUUUAUAUUUGAAUAUUUCUACCUACUAGAUUUAUUUUUAUCAGUUAAUUUUAACUAUCUCUAAUAGCCGGAUGCAAUAAUAAUGUUGGUAGUUUUAUUUAAAGUAAUUUCUAAAAAAAUAUAGAAUUAUUUGGAAAAACCACACAUUUAAGUUUACGUAAAAUGGCUAAAAGCAGUUUGAUCUAUCAUUCGUCUUUGUUGUUCGAUUUUCGCUAUCCAGUGCACUUUGUGCAAACUCUGCAUGCUAAAAUUAAUAAUAAGUAUUCACUAUGCAGUAGGUAACUCUAAUAAUGUUACUAAUUAUUAAUAAUAAAUAAUAAUAUUUACUAGGUGAUUUGUGUUAAGAUCUUAAUUAUUGUCGUCGGG